UAGUGAAAACGAUAGGAGCCAACUGGCAAUCUUGCUUAUUCACUAUAAAUAAACAAAACCGAAAACGCAACAUUAACUUUAUCACCAGGUAUUCCAGUCAUACAGCUCUAUCCGAAAAGAAACCAAUAAGAUUAGGAUAACCUUAGUGACUAAGCUUUGUCCCCAUUAGAGUCCAUAGCAAAAUAAAAACAACCCCAAUCAUGCAGUAUUUGCAUCCCCUUGGAGAUGGCAAGGGUAGAAGAUAAAGGAGGUGGAAUUCCAAUGUUAGUUGCAAUGAAAGGCCACCCGGGCACAGGAAAAUCCACCCUGGCCCACUCCUUAUCCUCCACCCUCAAAUUCCCUGUCAUCGACAAAGACGACGUGCGCGACAAGCUCCAAGCUCUCCAGUCCCACCCCGCCGCCGCUUCCUCCCUGCUCAACGACACGUCCUACAGCGUCGUCUGGCAAAUCGCGUCCACGCAGCUCCGCCUGGGCCUCAGCGUCAUCGUCGACUCGCCCCUCUCCCGUAGAGCCCACCUCGAGCACCUGACCCAGCUGGCGUCGUCGUGCGGGGCCCGCGUGCUGGUCGUGGAGUGCAAGCCUAAGGACGAGGCUGAGUGGCGCCGGAGGCUCGAGCGCCGCGCUGCGGCUGAGGGUGGAGCCGGAUGGCACAAGCCGUCCACGUGGGGGGAUAUGGUGAGGCUGUUGGAUGGGUACGGCGGGUGCACGGAAUAUGAUGUGGGCGAUGUUCCGAAGGUGGUUGUGGAUACGACGGCGGCUGUUGGAUUUGAGGAGAUUGUAUCCAAUGUGGUCGAGUUCAUUGAAACGCACAGUGGUCAGCCCAUGGCAUCUGAACACGAAGGAUAAAACUUAUGAAUUGGAAUAACAAUUAGGCUAAACAAAUAAUGUGGAAAUCCAAAGUACAAAUUAUAUAGGAAACUUCUGAGAUCUGAAAAUAUUGUCAUAUAAUUAAUCAAGCUCUUUUCUCUCUCCUUUUUAUGCCGAUUUUCUUAUCAUCUCUCCUUUUAAAUUUAUGUCACAUUAUCAGAACGCUCUUAAAGCUGAGUUAAAGAGAGUUUGACCAUCUUCAAUCAAAGGAGUAUUAUGUUUCAAUCAUAAGGGUUUUUGUCAUGAAUGGUCUAACUCAUCCUUUUGGUCCCAUAAUUUCCAAAUCGAUAAAUUUGGUCCCUGAAAUGUAGUGCCGCACAUCAACGUGCUCCUUCCGUCAAUAAUUCGUCAAAUUCUUCAUUAAAACUACACGUGACGACUCUUGUGGCCUUUUGGUGGAGGGCUUUACCUUUCCCCCAAUACUGUUUUCCUCUCUAGUUAGAGAGAUUUUAAAAAGCUAGGGUUUGGCAAAUUGGGGAUUUUGGCAAGAGAUAAUCAAUUCUCCUUAGAUUAGGACUCUCAAAUUUAGAAAUUUGUGGGGAAUCAUUGAACUUUGGUGGAUUGUGAGUAAAUUUUGUUGAAUUGUGAGCAUGUCUUAGAAAUUCCGCAAAUCUGGAAAACCUCCAAAAUAUGGUGAGUAUUAUUUAUCUUCUUUCCAUGAUUUAUUUAUACUUUUGAUGGUCCCAAUAGUCCUUAAUAUUUUUUAUAUGUGGUGGUGGGGUUUGUGUAGUUUGAGAUGGUGUGGGGUUAGUGUUGGUGGUGAAUAUGUUUAUAUAUGUGGUCUUGUUUCCUUUCUUUUGUCAUUUUGCAUUAAAGAUUGCAUAGUUUUAUUGAUAUGGAGUUUGGUUGUUGUGUAUUUUUAUUGUUUUAGUUUUCAUUGUAUGGCAUAGAUUUAGGGUUUUGACUGUAAAAUGUGGCAAAAGUAAUUGACUUAGAUUUAGAGAAUAAAAAACUAAUUGACGAUUUGCUUUACUAAUGUAUUAAUCAAUCUGUUGCAGCUAAUACUGAUAAAUUCACAUAUAACAAUUAUCACGAAGGUCAGGUUCUUAAGAAGGGAAAUAAGGAACACUACAUUAGAGGUGGUUAUAUUCUUAGAUUGGGUUCUUGGUGACUUCCAAUCCUUGGUAAAGUGUCACGAUAUAGCAAAGAAACUGGUAUAAGGUGAAGUUGAGCCACCAUAAAAUGUUGCAUGUGGGUACGUUUGAAGAAAUAGCAUGUGAUGCACAAGUGACAGAUUUAAUCGAGGACAUGCCAAAUGAUAAGGUAGUUGAAUUAUAUGUGAUUGACAAGAAUGUGAAGGCAAUUAGUAAAAGUGACAAGGGUGCUGCUUCAAGUAAUGGAGAUAAAGGCAACAAAUUACAAAGUGAAAGUGACAAGAGUCAAGCUUCAACAAAUGCGGAGAAGGCAAACAAAAUGGUACCUGCAAAUGUGUUAAUUGAUGUAGGUGUGGUGCAAGAGUUUGAGAUAACAUAAUCUUUAAGUUAGGAUGACAGAUUUCAUGAAUUUUGGCAAGAUGGGGAAUUCACAAUAGAAAAUCAAGGAGAAAAAGAAGAUUCUGCAACAAAAACUUAGGGAAAAAAUAGGGAUGAUGAAGAUGUUGAGGGAGAUGAAAGUGAACAACCUAAAAUGUGGAGGAAAUAAUCAAAAUAGUGAUUAUGACCAGGAUUCAGAUCAGGAAAUUGAACAUGCACACGAGAAUGUGUUAGAAGAUGAUUUGUUUGAAAAACAGGUAGACAACCCAAUUGAUUUUCCUUAUUAACACUAAGAUUUGUCAAUUGUAGCAUAUGAAAAUAAAGGUCUUUCCCGCAGAAGAUUGUUUUAUCUAACUACUUAAAAUGUCACAAAAACUGGUUGUUGUCCCUACUGACCAGCCAUUGAAAAAUAAUUAUUAGACUGACUUACACUAAUCUAAAGUCUACGAAAUUUUAUAAGCAAACACUAGACACACAGAGCUACACUUCUACAAAUAUUUGGGAUUUUUGGAUUAGAUUUGAUAUUUAAAUUAAAUCAAACAAAAACAGGACAGAAACAAAUUUUAAAUAGUUCAUAAAUUAAGAAAAACGAGUUAGGGGAAUUGCUAUCCACCACCAAAUAAUCAUGCAAACAUGUUAUGUUUCAUUCAAAUUCCUUUUAUUUCCGGAUGAAGAUGCUCAAGUUGGCUCAAUGUUAGAACUCAACCUAUUACUUUGUAUUACGUAGUAUGUUAAGAGAAUGGCGUUUUCAACUUAACUUAGUCCCUAGCAUGCAAUUUAGAAUGGCGUGUUUAUAGAUUUAACAAGUAUGAAUCAUUAAGAACGAAAAGAGUUUGAGUCAUCACAAGGCAUCGUUAGUACUGGGGUUGUCUUACUUAUCCGAGAAAUUGGUUCACAUGUUAAUCGCAAUUAACAAGUACUACUCUAGAACAUAUGUAGGUCCUCAUUCUAUAAGGGCAGGCACACACAUAUUCAUAGCAUUAGAAUCCUAGAUAUGUUUACUACGUAUGCAUCCAUAGAAAACAAAUAAAGAAUUCAUCAAUGAGACAAGUAGUGAACCAAUUUUCAUCCAUUCAUAAAAGUAAUUCAAACGAAAUGUCAUAACAAACUUGCAAUCAUAUUCGGGGCUUCAAAACAGCCCAUAACUACUAAAAAAUUAGUUACACACAAUCCUUAAAUAAAAACAAAAGAUAGACAUGAGUUUGAGAAGAUAGAACCGAAAGAAAUCGACUAAGGCCUCCUCCUCUCUUCCUUCCUUCCCCAAUGCUGCUUUUAAACCAAUUCUUGUUGCAUCAUUUUCUUCUCCUUAACUCACCCACUAAUAGCCAUUUAGUGAUGACAAUAAGUGAGAGGAAAUGUGGUAAAACAAUUGUAACACUUUAGGUAGCCUUUAUGCCAAUUACUCCCUCUUAAUCCUCAUUUUUAUUUCCAUUUCCUCUGAUAUUUGAAUAGGUGUCAGCUGACUUGUUCUUGGCUGCAUCAGUUUUGGCUGCUAGAUUUAUUGGGUUUAUUGCUUUCAUUGCAGUUACAAACUGCCCAGUCUCUUGUGAACCUUUCAGUGUUAAAACGGCCAUAACUUCUUCUACGAAAAUGAUAUUAACAAUCCGCGAAAUGCUCCAGACAAUAGACAUCCGUAGCUUUCCAAGCAUAUAAGGAUCAUUCUCUAAUUCAUUUUGAGCUGUUCGCAACUUGCUUCCAAAGUCAGCUGAUUUGCACAGGCAGUUUUGACGAAUUUGUUACUAAAAAUCCUACUUGUGCUAUUUUUCUUUUAUUUGCUUGACAAAUCCCACAAAACACAAAAACAAAGUAAAUAGCUCAAAAAUAUAAGGAACUAACUAAGAAAAGAGAAGUGAAUUUGAUGUAAAAUAUAUAUAAAUAUGAGCUUAUUAGUUUGCUGGGGAAAUUUCAGAUAAUGAAGCCAUUUCUUGGACCUUUCUUGGACCUUUAUAGCUUGGAAGCCCACACUUAUGAGGAAGAAGAUGGUGCUGAGGUGUCUAGCAAAAAGAAGAGGAAGAAACCUAUGCCUAAGGUUAAAUAAUGGCAUACAACUACAUAUUUGAAGAAUCCUGAUAUUUGCAUGGGUAUGUUGUUUUCUAAUAAACAACAGUUCAAGAAGGCAAUAGUAUACUAUACUAUGAAGAAUGAGCGAAAAGUUGCAUCUGUUCAAGGAGGCAAUAAUACCUUGUCCAACAUGCUCACUGAUCUUUAUAGGCAAACUAUUUAGCCCAGAUACUAAGAUCAUUAAUAGGCAAGUUAAUUAAUCGCCUACGAUCCUUACAGAUCCUCCAUUUUGUUCACAGCAGAUUCAAGGGAAUAUUUGCGAACUAAUCCAACCAAAAUACGAACCAUUUAAUUAUCUUCUAGUUUGGGUUGACGUAUCGACACAUUGGUUAUAUGUUUGUCCACACCCAAUGCUGCUUUGCUAGACUCUUGGCACCAAUUAUUUGGUUGCAGGCUCACCACCCCUACUAUCAUAAAGUCCAGAAGACUGACAUUACAAUUGAUAACUAGGUACAAGCAUAAAGUUUUGUACUUAUGGGUUUUGGGUGUACAUUUAUGUGUCAAAUGCGCCAUAUCAAUGUACCAAUACAAGUCCUUACAAAAGGUGAGUCAAUGUCAAUUAUGAUUCCCCUAAGCCCUUGCAAGCAAUCUUUUUACCUCUCAGUUAGCGGAUAGUCAUUUCAAUGAGACAGUCUUCCCGUCGUUAGGAAGAGAUAAGAACGUAAACUUUCUUGAAGAACAAAGCGAAUUAUCGUGGACAUCCCCACUGUGUCUCAUCCCAAUCCCUAUUCUAGAUUUACAUAAUGCUACUAGACGUUUUCUCUGAUCUAGUGAUAGUGACAAGAUCACAUAUACCAAUAGGAAACAUGCUUGCAAUGAUGAAUUUCUUUAACAAAUGUCUUUUUGUUCCCCAGAAUGGAGGACGUCCGUACGUCUUUUUGUUCCCUAGAAGAGAGGACGUCACGAUGCUACUAAGUGUGUGAGGAGAUUCCUAGCACCUAUUGGUCAAUCCUAGUACAUUGGCAGCUAGCCAAUCAAUCUGUCAUCCGGUGGAAGUGCAACAAAUCACUCGGUUCAAAUAAUUCACCUACUUAGAAGUAGAGGAACAUGGCACAAAAAAACUCAUUCCUCAAUCGUUGUAUUAAUCAUUUCCAUCUCAUGAGAUUAAUCUAGAUUACUCCCGAGACUUGAAGUUCUUGGUUCAAUAUACUAGUUUGGUGAGAUAUGGAAUUGAAAUAAGAUUAUCAUCGGUGAUGUUUCACUUAUAUUGUAUCUACCGACAUAAACGAAAAUCAACGAUAUCGAACCGCUUUUCGUUGAUUAGUGACAACGUGGAACUGAUUGGUCAACUAGAAAUAAACAAUCCAUGUCGAAUAAGAGGAUUGAAAUAGUGCGAUAUAAUGUCGCCUUAUGGCACAAGACUUAUCUCAUAUGCCUUGAAUUGAUUGCAGCACUAUAAAUGUGGUUAUAACAUAUCUCUAGGAUCCUGAUACGAAAUCCACAUAUACGAUUCUAGAAGAAUUACAUAUACUGGUUCAAAUAGUUAUAGGCCCCAAGACACCUUCUCAAUUUAGAUGAGGCUUUCACUUUAUGGAUGCAAAACAAUAUAGUCGAAUGUGGUAUACCCGUUUAAGUAAAUGUUGAUCAGUUAGGGAGAUAUGCCCCUGCGUGUACAAAAUUAAAAAUUGCUAGAGUUGUAGUUUAUGUCGAUGACAUACUAUCUCGCACCUGAAGUUGGAAUUUGAGAUAAAAGAUCUUGGAAAAAUUCGACACUAUCUCGGCUUGAAGUCCAACUACACCAAAUGGUGUUGCUAAGUAUACCCCUGAUUGUCCAUACGUUACAUGCAAAUGAGACCUUGGAGAUUCCAUAUAUAAGUGUAAUUAGCGUUUAUUGUACUUAACUUAGAGCAUUAGAUUAGACAUCUCAAGUGUUGAUAAUCUUUUGAUAAAAAGGUAGCACUACGCCUUCAUGCCACCACCAAAUUGGUGUUAAAAGACCUUUUUUAGCUAUCCUAAAAAUACUACGGAAUUGCGCUUAUCCCUACGCAUCCUGAGCAUAAUCAACCCCUUUGAUCAUCAGAAUGAUACUUGCCUUACUUUUUAUGUUAACGUUGGUUGUUUAUCAAACUCGCACAAGGCACAUUCCCAAAUGGUCAUGUAUUUACCGUUAAGGAACACGUCAAUAUCUUGGAGAUAAACCAAAUAGACCUUAGUUGUGAUGUCUUCAAGCUUGCACCAUAUACCACGCAACAUGAAUAGAGGAACAUCUUCGAAGCACCUGCAAUUUUCAUCCUUGGUUGAGUCCCAUUCAAGAACUAAGAAGUCAACACCAAACUUAUUGUGUCUACAUCAGUAUGAGCAUCAGAAGAUUGAAGUCAAGCAAUCCGAUCCCGGACAACCUUGUCGAUUUCUACAUGAAGUCGCUACCAAAGCUUACUUUCCAGAAGCUUGUCUGAGUAAUUGUAUGUGUAACUAUCUCAUUAGUAAUGCUUGUAGUUCUCAUUUGGAAGUUUUGUCAAACUCAAGGGAGUAUCCAGAAGUAUACUCACUUGAUCUUAAUGUACUCUUUUCCCCUACGAUUAGGAGUAUUUUUCCCACUGAGUUUUUGCUACAUGACUAGGUUUUGACAAGACACCCGUCUUGGAUUGGUCAUACCAUUGGGAGCGCUCUACUUGUAUCCACAAGAUGUAUAGUUUUGAUUUAAUGCAACUUCUCACUUUUCUCUUCAGACUAUGAGUGUUUAUCCCAUCUUGGGUUUUACCAUAGCAAGGUUUUGUGAGUAUUACUACCUAUGCAUUCUUCCAUUUGUUUUGAUACUCGCAUUCACUACUUGUGCCAACUAGACGAGACAAUUUCAUAUGUUUCUACAUUUACCUAAGGAUCUUAUGCUAUAUCUACUUGAGUAUUUGCACACUCAAUGGGGAGUAUUGUGAAUAUAUAUCAAGCACAUGUGUGGUUGUGUAAAUCAUUAGUCGAUUGUAUUUAGGAUAGUAGAAGAUUAUUCCCUUUCUGGGUAUAUUACUUCAAGGCAAGAAAUCCUCAUUGGUUUACUAUAUAUAUGGGCACAAGGUCUGAGGAAUAACACACAUAAUUCUUCAAGCCGAUUCUCCAUCUCUCUUUCUAUCUAUGACACACCCUCUAUUUUUCUCAAACAAAAAUAGGUCAUGGUAUUCAAUAUUUCAUGAUUGUUAACCAAACAUAAGAAUAAAAUAAUAGCCGCCUCAUAAAUGAUUAAUUUAUAUAUAUAAUUCUAUUCUGAUUUAUUCAAUCGCUAAUAAAAUUACGAAGAGUAUUGGAGAAAAAUAAAAGAAAGUGAAAAUGUUUCAAGUAAAAUAAGGCCAAUGUCAUCCCAAACCAAUGUCACAACAUAAGAGUAUCCUCAGUGAGGGGUUGUAUAUGGGGCUGGAAAAGUGGUGGAUAUAGAUCAUUUUAGAGCUCUGAGGAAUCUUUGGGGCUUUAUAAAAGAAUCUCUCCUAACGAGGGGCUAUUUCUUUCGGGCUUUGUAUAGGGCUAUAUAUAUUUAUUUAUGUCGAUAACUUUUUUUUUUGUGGUAACUUUUCUUAUGUUGAAUUUUGGACGUGAUAUCUUUUUCUUUUCUUUUUUUAAAUUUUUUUUUUGUGAACCUUUCAACCUAAAGAAGUUCAAAUUGUGACAAAGUUAGAUUUCAUCACUUAUGGACCGUUUGUUGGAUUAGAUUCUCUUAUCUUAAUCUCAUUCAUUGAAAUAUUCAAACCCUCACUUCGCCUUAUAAAAUAAUUUGAUUUUCAGGUACAUCACAACAAUUUACCUAGCACCAAUUGGUAAAUUAAUAUAAUACAAUUUUGAAAAAAAAAUUAUUUGAAAAUUUCACCCACCAAUGCCUAUGAACGUUAAAUUAAUUUAAAAUUUUAAUUCUUAUGGAAUUUAAAACAAUCAUUAAUUAGCCAAAUUGCAAGAAAAUAUGUAAGGAAAAGAAUUAUAAAAAAAAAGAAUAAAAGGAGAAUAUAAGUGUAUCCGAGAGAGUGAUAUAAUUUUAAUUACAUGGGUUGUCACCUUUUUUGUGAUGAUUGGAGUCACUAAAUAGAGAUGCUCUAAGAAAGUAGUACGUAAUAUCUAUUUUUAACCAAAAAUGAUUGUAGCCGCCUUGCCGGUAAUGAUGAUGGUCAUGUGUUCCCACGAUGGUCAUGUGUUCCCACGUCUGGGGAACUCAGUCCACCGAUCUGGGUCUGCCUCCCUCCCUUCUUGCGUUACACCCCACAAACCCAAAGAAAAAAGGAGGGAAAAUUCUUAAUCUCUUGAUUAAUCACUAUUUUAUUCUUAAUAUAGUCUGAACAUAUUAAUCUUAAUUAUUGAUGUAAAAUAUAUGGUGCUGAGUAUGCAGAAAAUGUGUUUACAUUAAAUUCUGUUGUUAACAAUACCCAUUGUGUUGAAUGUUUGUCUUGUUACUUCCAGUCAACCGUUUGCUCUGACCGGUUGCCUUCACAGUUCACAGCCACUUCCUUGUUUGCUUUCAGAGAGAGAGGGAGACAGGGAGGGACAGAGAGAGAAAGAGAGGAGAGAGAUAGAGAGAGACAAAGAGAGAGAGAGAGAGAGAGAGAGAGAGAGUGGGGCUUUUAUGCCCUAUUCCUUCAAAAUCUCAUUGAAUUUCAGGGCAUCAUCUUGAAAGCCCGAAGCUUUUUUUGGUCAAGUCUGAGGUCUUUCAAGCUCUUUGUCAAAAGGGUGUCCUUGUUUGCAAUCUUAAUCCAUUUUUCUCUGAAAUUUUCUCAAAAUUUUUCGGGGUUUUGAAUUUUUUACUCAUAUUUUUGUUCACUAUUGAAAGUUAGACGCUUUAGAUUUGAUGGGUUAUGAAGCUCAAGCCCAUAUUUCUCUGCCUGGAUAUGGAGGAUUCAUUGUCUCCAACUGGGUGCCUAGCUUUCUGUAUAAUUAAAAAUUAAUCCUUUUGCUUAUUAUUAUUUUUUUUUUUGGAUUUUGAUCAAUGUUUCCGCAACUGGGUAAUUCCUGGAAUUAAGUUUGGACUUUUUGAGAAAUUGGGUAAUUUUGGUUCAGAAUAUUUCUCGCUUUUGAUAGUUCUGAGCAAUUUUACUGUGUUUGGAGAAAUCGGGUACUUUUUGAUAUGAUUUCUCCGUAGGAUUGUGCAGUUUGCGCAGGAGAAUCAACCCGAUUUCGGGUUCUCUUAAUAGGGUGGUUUUGGGGGUUGUUGGAUCAUUUAUUCAUAGCAUUUGUUAAGCUUAGACAGAACUGCAUAGAUUUUGGAAGCCAUGGAUAACGUCAAUGAACUGUCAUCAUCCCUGAGCUUUUCCUCCUCCUCCUCCUAUCUGUCAAAUGGGUCCAGUAGUAACCAUGUAUCUGCCUCUGCCUCGGCCAGUUCUCAAAGUAUUGAACAUUAUUUGAGUCUAAGCAAACUGAGUGAUAAUCUUGAGAGACUGUUACUUGAUCAUGAGUAUGACUAUAGUGAUGCUGAGAUUGUUGUUGAGAGAAACACCGUGGGUGUCAAUCGGUGUAUAUUGGCUUCCCGGAGUCAGUUUUUUCAGUACCUUUUUAGGAAGGGGAGUGAUGAUGCGAAGACGGAAGGUAAACCGAGGUAUCUCAUGUCUGAAUUGGUUCCAAACGGCAGGGUUGGCCACGAAGCCUUCAAGGUUUUCUUGAGCUAUUUGUACACUGGGAAGCUUAAUCCAUCUUCUGGAGAAGUAUCCACGUGUGUUGAUGAUCGUUGUCCGCAUGAUGCGUGCGGCCCUGCUAUCAGUUACGCUGUGGAAUUGAUGUAUGCUUCUUCCACUUUCCAGAUGAAGGAGCUUGUUCAGCUUGUUCAGGUUUGUUCAAACUUUGACUUCUUGUGUUGCUCUUUUGCGAAUGAUUGUGUGCCGUGCAGGGUAAUUGUUUGUGUUCUCUCUUUGUCGACUUGCAAUUUGUUGCAGACUCUUUAUACUUACAGCCUGAAAACUUUGCAGACUCUUUAUAAUUGAUCAAGGCCCGGUCGAAACCUAGAAAAUCAGAAAAGGGCAUUUUCUAACUUGAUACAGUUUAUGAAGACCACUUGCUUGCCUACCCAAGGGUCAAGUGGUAUAGACUGACCAGCUACACAGCCCAUAAAGUACUUUAUGGUGGCAUUACAUGUAAAAUAGCUGAUGAGUCAUCACCCUCAAACCGCAUUCGGGCAAGGCUGCUGCUACAAGAGGCCAAACCGAGUUGACUAUAAAAGGAGAAAGAGAAGCCAUGAAUAAUGACACUCAAUCAAACAAACAAAUGCAAGCACAAACUCUUCUCAAAGCCAGAUUUGCCUUCAAAACGAAGCUGUAGUCAGCCCAAGCCUUCAUCCCUCUCGGGACAAGCUUUUAUCCCUCGCGGGAUAACCUUUCCUUCAAACCUUUGUAAUAGCUCUGCUACCCUGCCCAAACUUGGUGUAGUAUCGAUUCACUUUUUGUAUCUCUCUCUCUCCCUCUCUUUCUCUAAGCUUUCAGACCUUUGACAAAACUACAAAGAUAGGGACCUGCAAGACGAUCAGCCUUAACUGAUAAGGUUUAACCUUGCCCGACCUUCUUUGUUUUGUUUUUGUCUUUUCAUUCUUUAAAGCCUAGUAAUAUGUUGUAUACUUCCAAUUAUAUGCAAGUUAUUUCUAGCGAGGACUAUUAAAACGCUUUCUCAGUAUUUGGAUCCGAUUUGAAUAUAUCUUCAGUGUUCAAACUAGAUCCAAAGUCCUAAGCCCUCGGGCGUGUAAAUCUGAUCAAUUAAAAGUCCUUGGUCUCAAGGCAUAAAAAAGAACUUUAUGUGGACUUAACCCAUCCAUGACAGUCCUUGAUAAACGAGAAGUCCGAAGUUACUUGGGGCGCAAGUAAUCGACCUACCUCUUUGUUUUGUUUCUAUUAUAUUAUGAUUAUCGUAGAACACUUAAGCAUGGAAUGAAUUCUGAUGGGAAGCCUCAAGGCCUACACCUAAGGCCCCACGAAGGCACCUAUUUGGAUUCAUUCCGUCUUGCGAUCUAGAAUGUUUGAGUAUUAGAACGAACUCCAAUGGGAAGCCUCAAGGCCUACACCUAAGGCCCCACAAAGGCACUUAUUUGGGUUCGUCCUACCUCUCAAACUCGGGUAAUCAGAAGUAUAAUAGUUAUAAGACUCCUGCAAUCACGAGACCAAAUAUGAUGUGUUCGAGCACUGGUUUAGUUUGAUAGGAAGCCUCAAGGCCUAUACCUAAGGCCCCACAAAGGCACCUGUCACAUCUAACACGGCUUCUCGGGUAUAUACAUAUUUACAACGAAAACGCGACAUGCAUUCUACAUCUGCCAUACUACAGAUGGCAGUGGCACGCCUGAGCACCUCAAAGUUAAUCUUGAUUGUGAGUCUCAAGGCCUACAACUAAGGCCCCACAAAGGCACCUUUCAAAUUAACUAUGUCAUUCUCUUUCAGCCUUGCCCGACGAGCCUUGCCCGACGAGACUUGCCCGAUAAAGACUUGCCCGACCAAGCCCGAUAGUGAAAUAGAAGCCCGACAGCAGCCCUCAACCGGCGACAACCUCCCGGGGAGCUGUGUGCUCGUCGGCCAGGAACCAUCCCCGACGGAAAUUCCUGACACGAACAAGAGUAAUAUAAUUUUGAUCACAUGAGUUGUUACUUUUUUGUGAUGAUUGGAGUUCCUAAACAGAAAUGCUCUAAGAAAGUAGUACGUAAUAUCAAUGGUUGCUAUUUUCAACCAAAAAUGAUUGUAGCCGCCUUGCCUUGCCGGUAAUGAUGAUGGUCAUGUGUUCCCACGUCUGGGGAACUCAGUCAACCGAUCUGGGUCUGCCUCCCUCCCUUCUUGCGUUACACCCCACAAACCCAAAGAAAAAAGGAGGGAAAAUUCUUAAUCUCUUGAUUAAUCACUAUUUUAUUCUUAAUAUAGUCUGAUAACAUAUUAAUCUUAAUUAUUGAUGUAAAAUAUAUGGCGCUGAGUAUGCAGACAAUGUGUUUACAUUAAAUUCUGUUGUUAAAAAUACCCAUUUUGUUGAAUGUUUAUCUUGUUACUUCCAGUCAACCGUUUGGUCUGACCAGUUGCCUUCACAGUUCUCAGCAACUUCCUUGUUUGCUUUCAGAGAGAGAGAGAGAGAGAGGGAGACAGGGUGGGUGUUAAGAACCUGCUCAACCUGUACAAUGUAGCAAGGAAGAUAUGGAGUGGAAGAGGUAGAAGACGAGCACGAAACUCGUGUGAAUUUCAAUUAAUAAUACUCAAAUAUUAGUCUGAGGAGCAAUGAGGCCAUUGCUCCAUUUAAGUAGCCUUUCCACUCAGAAAUGCCAACUCAGCAUUCCAUUACAUAACCACUCACUAAAGGACAAACCCUUUUAUUUACUAAACUGAAAUUACAACAAAAGGAAUAAAAUGCAUUUCCUAACAUCACUCCCUCCUUAAAAUCAACCUUGUCCACAAGGUUUCAGAGCUGAAAUGUUGGGAAUCUGGCAUGAAAAUCAUCAUAAUCCUCCCAAGUAGCUGUGCUCUCUUCUUGUCCAACCCACUGUACUAGCAACUGAACACCUGCCUUGUCUUCCUUCUUGUAAAUUCUCCUGGCAAUAUUGCCAAAGGAGCAUCUGAUGGAUGAGAGUCUCGCAUCUGAGCUUCAUCUGUCAGUGUUGGCAGAGCUGUUAUGGUUGAAUCCACAUUUCCCAUGUGCCUCUUGAGGCAGCUGACAUGAAAAACAGGAUGGAUUUUUGUUCCCUCAGGUAGUUUGAGUUUGUAAGCAACAGGUCCUACUCUCUCCAAUACCUCAUAAGGACCGUAGUAUCGAGGGUGUAGCUUGUGAUAAGCAUGUGAAGCCAAUGUUUGCAACUGAUAUGGCAGUAGCUUGAGAUAGACUAAGUCACCAACAAAAAACUCUCUCUCAGUCCUUUUCUUGUUUGCAUGAACUGCCAUUCGAUUCUGAGCCAUUGCUAAGUUAGACCUGAGUAUGGUAAGCAACUUAUCCCUCUCAAUCAACUCUUGUUCCACCGAAUCCAUUUUUGCAGUACCUAACUCAUAAGAAGUAACAUGAGGAGGAGGGUACCCAUAUACCAAUUCAAAUGGAGUAAAUUUUGAAGAAGUAUGAUAGGAAGUAUUAUAGUUCCACUCUGCCCAUGGUAACCAUUUGACCCAAUUCUUAGGUUUGUUUCCCACAAAGCACCUCAGAUAUGUUUCAACACACCUAUUGACCACCUCAGUUUGUCCAUCACUCUGAGGAUGGUACCCCGAGCUCAUGCAAAGUUGUGAUCCUUGCAACUUAAAGAACUCCUUCCAAAAAGAGCUUAGGAACAACGGAUCUCUGUCACUCACAAUUGUAGAUGGCAUUCCAUGCAGCUUGAAUAUGUUAUCAACAAACAACUGAGCCACAGUCACGGCAGUAUAGGGAUGAGCUAAAGCUAAGAAGUGAGCAUACUUAGUAAGCCUAUCUACUACCACAAAAAUGACAGUUUUUCCUUUGCAAGAUGGUAAUCCCACAAUGAAAUCCAUGCUUAUAUCAGUCCAUAUUUUUUGAGGAAUUGGCAAAGGUUGAAGUAAACCAGGAGGAGAUAGAGUUUCAUACUUGUUUUGUUGGCAAGUAUUACACUCUGAGAUAUAUGUCUGUAUGUCGCCCUUCAUACCUGGCCAAUAAAAACCCCUUUUUAGUCUAUGAUAGGUCUUCAAUACACCUUGGUGCCCUGCUGCAGGUGUUGAAUGAUGCUCAGUUAAAAGCUUAAGCUUCCAAGUGGAAUUGGGGCUGAUUACUAUCCUGGACUUGUACUUGAGUAAGCCAUUAUCAAGAUGAUAAUGGGCUAACUUAGAAUCACUGGCUGUUCCACUCCCCAAGGAUGUAACCGCUGCCCUUUUUUGCUUGAUCCAAGCAUCUUCUUCAUUGUAUCUUCUUAAUUCAUCCAACCACCCAAAAUAGGGAUAAGAGAUAGCUUGACAACUCAUGGAUGAAUGAUUUACCCCAGUAGAACACUGAGUGUCAUGAUCUGUGACUUGUCUUCUAGAGAGGGCAUCAGCAACUACGUUAUCAACCCCCUUCUUAAAAUGAAUUUCAUAAUCAAAUCCCAUCAAUUUGGAAACCCACUUCUGUUGGAAUGUGGUAUGAGCCCUUUGGUUUAAAAAAUAUUUCAAGCUGCAGUGGUCAGUCUUGAUUAUAAAAUGUCUACCCUGAAGGUAGGACUGCCAUUUCUUGACAGCAUGUACAAUUGCAAUGAGUUCUCUCUCAUAGGUGGAGAGAGCUUGAUUCUUAGGUCCUAAGGCUCGACUGGUAAACGCAAUGGGUCUCCCUUGUUGCUGGAGAACCGCACCAAUGCCGUUAUCCGAAGCAUCACAUUCCAACUCAAAUGGCAAUGUAAAAUCAGGCAGAGCAAGGACCUGUGGAGAGGUCAUAGUAUCCUUGAGAUUCUGGAAAGCUACUUCAGCUGCUGGGGUCCACAAAAAGCCAUCUUUCUUAGUCAUCUGGUAAAGGGGUUGGCAGAUUUUGCCAAAACCAGGCACAAAUUUCCUGUAAUAACCUGUGAGACCAAGGAAACCUCUCAAUUCUUUCACUGUAGUAGGCUUAGGCCAGUCCACGAUAGCCUGAAUCUUGGAGGGAUCAGCCUCUACACCUUUGCUUGAUAUGACAUGGCCCAAAUAUUCCACUCUACUUUGACCAAAAGCACAUUUCUGCUUUUUAACAUAAAGUUGGCUGCUGCAACACUUCAAAGGUCAUUUUAAGAUGUAACAAAUGGUCUUCCCAAGUCUUACUGUAGACCAAUAUGUCGUCGAAGAACACAAGGAUGAAAUGCCGCAAGUGGGGUCGGAAUAUAUCAUUCAUAAGGCUUUGGAAUGUCGCAGGAGCAUUAGUGAGUCCAAAAGGCAUCACUAAGAACUCAUAGUGACCUUCAUGGGUUCUGAAAGCAGUUUUUUCAAUGUCAUGAGGAUGCAUCAAAAGUUGAUGAUAACCGGACCGUAAAUCAAGCUUAGAGAAAAACAGAGCACCAUGUAGUUCAUCUAAGAGAUCAUCAAUCAGAGGAAUAGGGUACUUAUCCUUGAUUGUUAUGGCAUUAAGCUCCCUGUAGUCCAUACACAUUCUCCAGGUUCCUUCUUUUUUCUUCACAAGGAGAACUGGACAAGAGAAAGGACUGUGGCUUGGUCGGAUAAAACCUGCCUUAAGGAGUUCUUGAACUGCUUUUUCAAUCUCAGUCUUUUGCAAGGGACCAUAAUGGUAGGGUCGUAUAUUAGGGGGCUUAGAUCCAGGAACGAGUGGAAUUUGAUGAUUGUGAACCCUACUCGGCGGUAGCUCAGUAGGUAAGACAAAAAUGGUGUCAAACUGCCCCAACACCUCUUGUAGUUGCGUAAGUUGCAAGGGGUUUAACUCACAAGCUUCAACCAUUUUAUCUUCAAUGGAGUAAAGGAACAAGCCCAAAUUAGAGUUGAAAAUCUCUUUGUCAAGCUGUUGAAGAGUCACCUCUUGAAUCAGUGGAGCAGGUGAGUCACUAUGAAUGAGCUUAUACUGAGAACCAUUCUUGGCAAAUUCCAUAGUUAGUAGCUGGAAAUCCCAUAGAACCGGGCUAACUGAGGAAAGCCAUUGGACCCCUAAUACGAUGUCACACCCUCCUAAUGGCAAAGAGUAUAGAUCCACACUACAUUCAUAACCCCCAAUUGAUAAAGCAGCAUCAGUGCAGCAACCUGAACUACUAACCUUACCCCCAUCCGCAAUCAUCACUUCAAAUGGUUUAGUAGGUUGAGUGUGCCAAGCAAAUUUCUUAAGGAGUCUAGAAUCCACAAAAUUAUGGGUGCUUCCAGAAUCUAAGAGAACUGUGACUUGGUGACCAUUCACUGAACUGAUGACUUUCAUUGUUUUCACAGUGGGCCUAGCAAGUGUGCCAUAAAACGCACAUUCACUAAGUUCCAUUUGUAAAAUUUCAGGUGGUGGUUCUUCUAGCAAUGGGGUGGUGAUCUCCUCUUCAGGGUAAGCUAGAUCAAGCAUGAGGAGUUGCUUAUUAGCACAAUUAUGUCCCAUGCGCCACUUUUCAUCACAAAACCAGCACUCACCCUUCUCCCUUUUGCAUUGAAUUUCCGCAGGAGUUAACCUCUUCACAGGGAAAUUAGAGGGUUUAACACUAGGAGUGAUGUGUGGUGUAGUAGGGGUGUGUAACACACGAGGCUGUGGAAAAGGCUUAGUAUAGCCACUCUUCAAAUCACACAAUUUAGCAUCAAGUUGUAAGGCAAUUGAAAUGGCAUCAUGCACAUCAGAAGGGCGCAGAAGCUUAACAUCAUAUUUAAGUUCACGUUUCAAUCCACCCAAGAAACAACUCUUUAACAAUAGAGGCCCUAAAUCAUGGGUUCUAUUUGCCAAACGCCUAAAUUCAGUGAUGUAAUCUUUGAGAGUACCUGAUUGUUUCAAUUUGAAGAGCGCUUCGGCACUGUCUUCAAACUCAGAGGGUCCAAAUUCUUUGCAAAAUGCGUGUGUGAAAUCCCCCCACCGAGGAGUGGUGCGCAAGCAAUCGUGCCAUCGAAACCACUGGAGUGCCUCUCCUUCCAAGUGAAACGAGACCGUUAAGACCUUCUGAAGCUCAGGAAUGGAAUAGUAGGUGAAAAACUGUUCCGAUUUAUAAAUCCAAGCAAGUGGGUCUUCACCCGGAGUGAAUCGGGGAAAAUCGAUGCGAGGUUGCCAGUUAUGGCGAGGCCGGUGAGGAUCGAGGUCGCCGGAAUCGUGAGGAUCGGCGAUGAGUGGUUGGGGAGGAGGAUCAGUAUCAGAAGUGGAACCUCCGCUCCCACGAGCACAAGCUUGCUCCCGACGAAAUUGUUCGAAGAACAUCGCCAUUUUUGAAUCGAUGGAAUCAGAGAGGGCAGCAACAGAAGAUUCCAAAGCAGCAACUCGAGCGUCCAUGAGAGAUAAUCGAGUGUUGGGAUUGUAGCGGGGCAUACAAAGAGGGAUCCAGGAUCAAAAUGGGGUGAUACCAAUGUUAAGAACCUGCUCAACCUGUACAAUGUAGCAAGGAAGAUAUGGAGUGGAAGAGGUAGAAGACGAGCACGAAACUCGUGUGAAUUUCAAUUAAUAAUACUCAAAUAUUAGUCUGAGGAGCAAUGAGGCCAUUGCUCCAUUUAAGUAGCCUUUCCACUCAGAAAUGCCAACUCAGCAUUCCAUUACAUAACCACUCACUAAAGGACAAACCCUUUUAUUUACUAAACUGAAAUUACAACAAAAGGAAUAAAAUGCAUUUCCUAACAGUGGGACAGAGAGAGAAAGAGAGGAGAGAGAUAGAGAGAGAUAAAGAGAGAGAGAGAGAGAGAGAGAGAGAGUGGGGCUUUUAUGCCAUAUUCCUUCAAAAUCUCAUUGAAUUUCAGGGCAUCAUCUUGAAAGCCCGAAGCUUUUUUUGGUCAAGUCUGAGGUCUUUCAAGCUCUUUGUCAAAAGGGUGUCCUUGUAUGCAAUCUUAAUCCAUUUUUCUCUGAAAGUUUCUCAAAAUUUUUCGGGGUUUUGAAUUUUUUACUCAUAUUUUUGUUCACUAUUGAAAGUUAGAAGCUUUAGAUUUUAUGGGUUAUGAAGCUCAAGUCCAUAUUUCUCUGCCUGGAUAUGGAGGAUUCAUUGUCUCCAACUGGGUGCCUAGCUUUCUGUAUAAUUAGAAAUUAAUCCUUGUGCUUAUUAUUAUUAUUAUUUUUGGAUUUUAAUCAAUGUUUCCGCAACUGGGUAAUUCCUGGAAUUAAGUUUGGACUUCUUGAGAAAUUGGGUAAUUGUGGUUCAGACUAUUUCUCGAUUUUGAUAGUUCUGAGCAAUUUUACUGUGUUUGGAGAAAUCGGGUACGUUUUGAUAUGAUUUCUCCCUAGGAUUGUGCAGUUUGUGCAGGAGAAUCAACCGGAUUUCGGGUUCUCUUAAUAGGGUGGUUUUGGGGGUUGUUGGAUCAUUUAUUCAUAGCAUUUGUUAAGCUUAGACAGAACUGCAUAGAUUUUGGAAGCCAUGGAUAAUAUCAAUGAACUGUCAUCAUCCCUGAGCUUUUCCUCCUCAUCCUAUCUGUCAAAUGGGUCCAGUAGUAACCAUGUAUCUGCCUCUGCCUCGGCCAGUUCUCAACCCGCACCGAGUUUUGAACAUUAUUUGAGUCUAAGCAAACUGAGUGAUAAUCUUGAGAAACUGUUACUUGAUCAUGAGUAUGACUAUAGUGAUGCUGAGAUUGUUGUUGAGGGAGACACCGUGGGUGUCAAUCGGUGUAUAUUGGCUUCCCGGAGUCAGUUUUUUCAGGACCUUUUUAGGAAGGGGAGUGAUGAUGCGAAGAAGGAAGGUAAACCGAGGUAUCUCAUGUCUGAAUUGGUUCCAAACGGCAGGGUUGGCUACGAAGCCUUCAAGGUUUUCUUGAACUAUUUGUACACUGGGAAGCUUAAUCCAUCUCCUGGAGAAGUAUCCACGUGUGUUGAUGAUCGUUGUCCGCAUGAUGCGUGCGGCCCUGCUAUCAGUUACGCUGUGGAAUUGAUGUAUGCUUCUUCCACUUUCCAGAUGAAGGAGCUUGUUCAGCUUGUUCAGGUUUGUUCAAGCUUUGACUUCUUGUGUUGCUCUUUUGUGAAUGAUUGUGUGCCGUGCAGGGUAAUUGUUUGUGUUCUCUCUUUGUCUACUUGCAAUUUGUUGCAGACUCUUUAUACUUACAGCCUGAAAACUUUGCAGACGUUUUGGUAUAACUUAUUUUACCUCUGCAAGUUUAAGAUUUUAACACAUUCAUCUAGCAGGAUUUACGGUUUCAUCGAUCAAAUGCCUAUAUGUCUAUUAUUACCUGUUGAGUGGCAUAUUUAUUCAAGUAAAGAGUAAGCGAGUAUGGUUUAUAUUAGGUUUGCCAACACUAGCCAACGUUUAGGUGGUUUGUGCUGACAAUUUCCAUCAAUUUAUGCAGCGUCACCUUUCAAACUUUGUUGAGAAAGCGCUUGUUGAAGACGUAAUCCCAAUUCUUGUAGCUGCCUUCCACUGCCAACUGGAUCAGCUGCUCUCACACUGCAUCCAGAGGGUAGCAAGGUCAGAUCUUGACAACGUGGCUAUAGAGAAAGAGCUUCCGCAUGAAGUUUCAAAUGAUAUCAAAUUGAUCCGUCUCAAACAUCAGGAAAUGGAGCCGGUAGAGGAUAAGAGAAUCAGGAGUAUCCACAAGGCAUUAGACUCUGAUGAUGUUGAACUGGUUGGGCUUCUUCUGAAGGAAUCUGAUAUUACAUUAGAUGAGGCUUACGCUCUCCACUAUGCUGUUGCAUACUGUGAUCCUAAGGUUGUCAAGGAGGUUCUCGGUCUAGGCAAGGCUAACCCCAACCUCCGCAAUUCCCGAGGGCAUACUGUACUUCAUGUGGCAGCCAGACGUAAGCUGCCAUCAGUUCUUGUUCCUCUUCUGAAAUGGGGAGCCUCUGCCUCGGAAACUACUUUAGAUGGUCAAACUCCAGUUGCAAUUUGCCGGAGAUUGACUAGACCAAAGGAUUUUUUGGAGAACACACAGACGGGACAGGAAUCUAACAAAGACCGAAUGUGCAUCGGUCUUCUAGAGAGAGAGAUGCAGAGAAACUCAAUCUCUGGGAACAUGUCAAUCAUAUCGGAGGAGAUAGCCGAUGAUUUGCACGUGAGGCUGGACUAUCUAGAAGAUAGAGGUGAUCAUUAUUAAUUUGUAGAUUAAAUCACUCCCUUGGUUACAUUCAAGUUCAGAUCAUGAAUUGUGGAAGUUGUGUUAAGUAUAAAGUCAAAAUUGCUGGCACAUUCGCCUGCCUCAUUCUUAAUGCCAUCAAGAAAUUUACAAUCAGUCAGUUUUUUACUCUUGUUGUCGAAAAAAAUGACUAACAGCUUUCCUAAUUUUUCAGUGGCAUUUGCGCGGCUGUUGUUUCCUGCUGAGACCAAGCUUGCUAAGGAAAUGGCAGAUACUCAUUCAACAUCAGUGUACAGUGGCCUUACAGCAUCAAGAGGAUCAAGUGGGAACUUACGAGAGGUUGAUUUGAAUGAAACGCCCUCUGGACGCACCAAAAGACUCCAAACAAGAAUGCAAGCCCUUCUUAAUACUGGUAUGACCAUUUAACCUCUGACAUAUAUCCCGAACCCUCUGAUUACAUGUUUUCCUAGAUGCGUGUUACGAUGUAUGUCCAGUUUCAAGCAUUGUUUCAUGCCUAACCUCUUUGAAAAUUAUAAAAUGCUUUCGUUAUUGGUCUCCGUCUAACUUCCCCACUGCAAUGGCGAAGUUAGUAUUACCAAGUCUAUAGCUAGAUUACCAAACACAACUCGAAGAAGUUUAGGAAAGAGCAUGACUUUGUUUCGUGAUUUAUUCUUGGAGCAAUCGGUAAGUUAUAUGAUAUGGUGAUGGCAGUGGAAAUGGGGCGGCGUUUCUUCCCCAACUGCUCGGAAGUGCUUGAUAAGUUUUUGGACGAUGAGUUGGACAUGGCGGAUUUCAUCCUCGAAAAGGGCACUCCCGAAGAGCAAAGAAUCAAGAGGACGCGGUUCUUGGAACUUAAAGAAGAUGUACAGCAGGCAUUUUACAAGGACGUGGCUGAACAAAACCGGUCAGCUUCGUCAUUCUCGUCAUCGUCUUCAUCUUCCCCGAAGGAGGGGGUAAAUCGCAAGGUUAGGAAAAGGCGUUGAUUAUAUAUUUUGCAGUAAGCGGUGAGAGAUCUUGAUAAAUUUUAAGUUGUAUUUUUCCUUCCAAAUAGAAUGAGAUCUAUGAAUCUGUAAUUUAUAGCUUAAGGUAUUGGGAUUGUGCUUUUAUAUGCUUGUUUCUCAUGUUUUCAGUAUGUUCUAAUACUGUAUAAUCUAUAUGUCAUUCUAUUUUACAAUUUUGUAUCCCAAUACAAUUAUGUAUGACAAGUUAUAUAUAUAUGUAUAUGUUAUAUAAGAAUUAACAGUCCAUCUAGUCCUCGUAGGCCCUCUUCGAGGCAUUAGGCCCCAGUCGCUGCCCGACUAACAUAUAGCGUCUUUAUCUAGAACAUUGCUAUCAACCACACGUCAUUCUAUUUUACAAUUUUGUAUCCCAAUACAAUUAUGUAUGACAAGUUAUAUAUAUAUGUAUAUGUUAUAUAAGAAUUAACAGUCCAUCUAGUCCUCGUAGGCCCUCUUCGAGGCAUUAGGCCCCAGUCGCUGCCCGACUAACAUAUAGCGUCUUUAUCUAGAACAUUGCUAUCAACCACACCAUGACGAGCACUCCUAAUACGCAUUAAUGACUACCACUAAUUUGUAAAUUGACAGCUAUUUACUGCUAUUAAAUUUUGUAUUUAAAUUUCAUUAUACUUUUAGAUCAACUAAAAAAAAACUUCACAAUUUUUUUUCUUUUGGAGCAAACGAUAUUAUCUACACAAAGAUAUUAGUAAAAAAAAUUAGUAUAAAAAAUUUAAGUUGGGCUUUGUUUAAUAGGGUAAACUAAAAAUUUAGAGAUUGAGACCUCAAAAUACCAUCUAAUUAAAUAUCUAAUUAAACAUCUAAUUCAUCUAGGCACCAACUGCUUAGUUAAAUUAGAGGGUCCUAAAAUGGCCCUUCCAUAGGCCACAGGCAAUGAUGCUAACUUCUUUGCUUUUCCCACAUAUGCCCUUUUUGUGAAAUUGUCAUAACCAUUUGCUUCAAUUGCAUCUAGAAUCUGCCUGUACAGCAACAAAGAUGCCCAUACUGGCCAUCUACUAGCUGAGUUGAGCUCUGAGACACCCUUCUCAGCCUCAUCAAAGAACAUCCUAGCUCUCUUUAUUUGUCCCUUCAUGAAACUUUGCCACUUGUCAGUCACCUUCCCGCGAAAGAUGUCAUCGUCUGAUAGGCCGGCUUGGGCAAGCUCGUCUUGUGGGAGAUAUAUCCUUCCUCUCCUAGCACUAAAAUGAUCAUUUCAAAGAGCAAGAUUUUAGUUAGAUAUGAUGUGCGAUGUUCUCUUGCCAAAUAAAUGCUUAUAUUGUCAGACUGUGAAUCUCGACAACAGUCAAGAAAAGAUCGGACUAAUCAAUGGUUCAUACUCACAGUCUGGCAACACGAGUUUCUAAACAUGUAAUGUUUAAAGGGGCUCAUGUAUUAUAAGAUGAAACUUACUCUUCUCCAACAUCUCUGAGAAUGUUAGUGAGCUGAUUAGCAAUUCCAAGGGCCAAUGCAGCAUUGUAAACACUUUCUGUUGAGGCCUUUGAUUCCCGGGAUAUCCCCAUUACCGGAACACUCAUCAAUCCAACAGUUCCAGCAACAUAGUAGCAGUAAAGGUAAAGUUCAUCAAAGUUCUGGUAUCUUGAUUUUCUCAAGUCUAAUCUCAUUCCUUCUACCAUGUCUCUGAAGGGCUGUCAAAAUAUCGAAAUUUGUAUGGUGAAUCAUUCAGUACGUUCAAAUUUUGAUAGAUUAAAGAGUUGUAAUUAAUCUCUGAUCUUGAGUAUGUGGUAUCUAUAUACCUGAAUGUCAACAGGGUACUUGGCGACUGUAUCAGAUAGAGCAGCAUCAUACAUAUCAUAAGGCCGGCCUUCGAAGAGAUCUGUCAGUCUUUUCUCCCAUCUGUCAAGAGCUUUGGGUGUAAUGUAUGAAGCAUUAGGUCCAUCCACUAGCUCAUCCGUCCUUCUGCACCACACUGCAGAAAAAAGCAGAACUCUUCAUUUAGUAUUUACCAAAAGGGAUGGUACUAAUUCUGGCACAAAUUCUGUGACUAUACUAACCAUAGAUUGCCCAAACAGCUCGUCGCCGCUCCGGUGUCAUGAGCAAUGUCCCUGAAGAACACAGAAAGAAGUUGGUAAAUACAGUUUCCUUCCAAUUCAUAAAUCCAUUUCAAGUAAAAAAUGGAAGCAAAAAUAAUUCCAAAUUGUGCUGCCUGCAACAAUAGUUAGAAAACCUAAAGUUAAACAACAUGGAAUGUGAAGAAGCACUGCCUAUCCUUAAAGAUUUGAUAACUUAGAAUCUGAAUCUUCAUUACUUUCCUUACAUUACCUUAAACAGUUGUCUCAACUACAAGGCGAGAUGAGAUUUUUCAGUGUGCCGGAAAAACGGCCUGGUACAUCAAGUGUAAUUAUACAAUUAGUUACAUUUGAGCAUCUAAUUGCCCCUCAAACUUCCAAAUUUCCUUUUCAAUUUCUCCAUUUUCCAUUACUUCGAAUGAAAAUUUGAAUCAAUCAGAUUCUUAGCUUCCGUGCGUUUACUAAAACAUGAUUAUUGAAAUGAUUCCAAUUGCCGACUUCUCUUGCGUUAUUCGCAUACAUAGAAUCAGAAGAAAAAAAGUCCGAAUUUCACAUUACCAUCCGCAAUCAAAUACCUAAUAAAAUAUAAAAAAGCGGUCAACUAGAUUAACUAUAUUUCCUUCUUUCUUGCAUGACUUUCCAAGUAAGUGUUUAGUGAAUGAUAAUAUAAACUACUUGUCAAGACUCACGUGCGAACGUUUCGAAGAAAAAAGCGAUUCAAGAUGUGCACUCAACUGCUUGGGAAAUAAAAACAAAGAAUACAAAAUCAAGUGGUCAGUCCACUUUAUUAAAACAGUGUAAUUAGUAUAUCCACGAAAAUGACCGGAUCCCAUUAAACAAAAAACCAGAAAAACCAAAGAGCUCGUAGUUUUUACACAAAAAUUUAUACGGUUAGAAUAAAAAUUAAAGAAAACUAAUGAAAAGGACUUGAAAACUUUGAGUUUUAAUGAUAAGGACAAAAUAAAGGGUAAAGUGAAUAGUACAGGAUUGACUUUUUAGUGUAAAAAUGUGGUUUUUCGUUAAAGUGAACAGUACCGGGUGCUUUUCGUUAAAGUUCCCUAAAAAUUAACGUUAAACUGUACAGAGAGUUUCAUUUUAAGAAAGUCUGGUUAGAGUUUCUCAAAACUAAACAGAUAAACAGACAGUAAAAGCAGAAACCACAGAAACAGACGAAGAGAGAGAGCAGCAGAAAUCCAGAAAAGUUACUUACCUAGGUAAAAAGUCUUGGCAUACUCUGCACAGACCUCACCACACCGGUCAUACGCCUUAUUCAGUAAAUCCCAGUUGUUCAAACCUUCAGUAAUCCGUUCAUCCAAAUCCAAAGAUUUCUUUUUUACCGUGUUCGGUUCUCUCACUAGAGCAGCCUGCUUCAGCACCACUUCAUACACCUUCUCCUCUGAAGAUCUGGCUGGGUUUGCAACUGCACCCGAGUAGGCCAAAACCCCACUUGAAAAACCCAGCUUUGAGCACAAUUUAGACCUCCUUGGGGUGCAAAUUCUCGGCAACAGACCCAGCGGAGAGCUGGCAUUCUCUUUGGGACUCACCACCCAGAGAAGAACACCUGACAUAUCAAAAAAUAUAAUUAAUCUGCUGGGUUUUUGGGUUUUUGGGGUUUUGGGUCUUGAGUGUGAGGGUGGGAGGGAGGGUGUCAGCUGUGAGGUUGUCGCUUCUCUUAUAGAGAUUGGAAGGGUAAGGCGCAAAAGUUUUGAAAGCAGGGGUGGUUGGCAAAUGGGUGUCCAGUAGUUUUUGUGUGACUAUUGCAAUAUAUAUGCCUUUUAUGCAAAGGAAUUUCUAAUUUUUCUCAAAAAAAAUGUAGAUUAGGUGUGGGACCUACUUGACAUUGUAUUUUAACAAUCUGAAUCGUUUAUUUUGUAAGUUUUGAUUCAUAGAUCAUCCUUGCAAAAAUUCAAUCUAAAACCAUUUGCUAAUUUAAUCAUCAAGAUCAAAUUUUAUUGUUUAUUAUAUAAUAAAGUAUUUGUUAAUUUUUUUAAACUCAAUUAGAUGUUUUAAAUAUUUUUGAUUUGGUUAAUAUUUUGCAAGAAUGCACUAUAAGAUGUAGGGCUGGAAAAAAAUCCCAAAAAUCUCAAACCAAACCGAAAAAUUCCCGAAACCAAACCGAAAAAAUCCCAAACCGAAAUUCCCGAAAAUUUCGGUACCCAAUACCGAACCGAUCCCGAAAUUUCGGUACGGGAAUCGGUCUCAAGUUUUUGGGAUUUCGGUAUUCCCAAACCGAACCGAAAAAUAUAUAUAUAUUAUUUAAUUUUUAAAUAUAUAUUUAGAUCGACAGAGUCCAUAGAAAAUGAAGGCUUCAAUAGUUGCACAUAUUUCUAUAUGAAUGAUUUAAAUCGACAGAGUUUUACAAUUGUAGCAUCUACAUUUGAAUCCAGAUUGGCAGUCUUGCAAUUGUAGCAUCUACAUUUAAAUUAACAUAGUCUUGCAAUUGGCACAUAUUGCAAUGGGUUUCUUAGCAGAUGCAGCCCAAAAGUGUUAAAAGGUUCAAUUUUAGCCCAAAAACAUAAUAUUUUAGUCCAAAAGCCCAAAAGCCCAAAAUCAUUUCGGGAUUCCCGGUUUGUCCCGAAAUCCCGAAACUAUUUCGGGAUUCCCGAAAAUUUGGUUUGGGAUCGGUAUUGAAAUUGAAAUUCCCGAAAUUUUUGGUUUGAGAAUCGGGACAAAGGUUUCGGUAUGGGAUCCCAUACCGAACCACCCCUAAUAAGAUGCAACUUAAAAAAUAAACGGUUUUAAUAAUUAAAAUUCUAUGUAAUAUAAACCUCACAAUUUAUCCUCAGUUUUAUAAAAGAAUAAAGAUCCUCUAAGAUCCUCUCUCUCUCUCUCUCUCUCUCUCUCUCUCUCUCUCUCUCUCUCUAUAUAUAUAUAUAUAAGAAACGUUUCUCUUUGGUUCCAAGGGUUGAUAACGAUGUCCAUGUACUGAGAGAAGAAAAGUUAUGGCCUUUGUCAAACAAGCGAAAUUCAAGGUAUAUGCUUUUGCCAUUUGGAUAGCUGGUACAUGGAAAAUAUGUGGACAGCGUUUGUAUGACUUGUGUGUGUUUAUUUUUAUUUUUCUUUGUUGUUCUUUUGUUGAGAAUAGGUUACCAUCGUCCGCGCGCGUGGAUGGAGAAAAGUCCUUUGAUUGGUAUGGGACAUACCAAACGACGGUUCAAAAUAACUUUAUUUGAGCAUGAGCGUUUUGUACAUCAUUGACGGAAUAUUUGUUUUUACAAAUUAUAAAGUAGUGAAAAUUAUUCGCCUAAAUGACAAUUUAUGAAAACUAUUCACCCGAGUGACAACUUUGAGAUAAUUGUUCACAUGAGCGACAAUUUUAAGGGUCAUUAGUACAUGAGCAUAUCGCAAAGUCCUUCAAAUCAGUGAUGGAAGUAAACUUGGUAUGGAGGAGGACCAGAGAAACAAUGAUGAUAUGUUGCCUCAGAUCAAAUCACUACAAAGGAAGUCACCGCAAGGAUAGGUUAUUCACCCGAAGGAAGUCACAAAUGACAACCUUCCCGUCCUUAGGGGGAGAUAAGAAUGUCAACGUUCUUGAACAACGCACGAUGAAUGAUCAUCCAAGUAUAGCUCUAGACGAUUUCUCGAAUCUCGUGAAAGUAACGAGAUCACAUAUACCUGUCACAUACGUAUUGCAAUCAUUCUGGCAAUGAUAGAUGUACCUAACAGACGUUGCAAACUAUCCACAAAGGACGGCCGCUCCUAGUGUUAUCGUGCAACCCUAAAGGUAGGUAUACUGCGCACUUAGGCGACCUAGUGCACUGGCGGCUAGCCAAUCAUUUAUGCUCAACUUGAAGCGAGACAAAUCAUUUAGUUAGAAGGGUUCGCCUCCCUGAAAGUGAAUAAACAUGGCACAAAACAAUCCUUUCCACGAUCUCUAUCUCAACCAUUCCACCUCAUGAAAUUAAUCUGGAAUAUCCCGAGACUUGAAGUUCUUGGUCUAUUAUGCAUGCAUGGAUGAGUUAUGAAAUUGGAAUGAGAUUAUCAUCGAUGUAUUUACGUACAUGGUAGCUACUUGAAAUAGUGAAAAACGACGAUAUCGAACCGUGUUCCAUUGAUGCAGUCAACAUAGAAUUGAUUGGCCAACUGGAAAGAAAUAAUUUAGGCCGAAUUAGAUUCCUUAUCAAAGAGUCUUUGGACCUAUUGUUCCUACAUUGCCCAAUGUAAUCCUAUCAUGUUACAAGUAAGAAAUGAAGCGCAAUGAGAUGAAUGAAAUAGUGCAAAACAUGCCUUAUGCGCAAGGAGUUGUGUUGAUUUCAAGUGCAAAUAUAAUGAUAAUAUAAUGACACAAGUAAGGGUGCCGAACCACAUGGACUAAUUAGACCUCUACAAAUUACUAAUUUUAUGUGAACUCUAACCAAACAAUGAAACUAAUAAAUUGAGUUUGGAUUUUGAUUUUAAAAACUAAAGAAACUUAAAAUGCAAGAGAAUGUAAAUACAAAUGAUAGAUUGAUUCAUAAACGAUGGGAAUGGAACUAAGGAUAUCGAUUUCACCAUUACAAGGCAAUUCCAUGAAACUUAAGCCAAAACGUUUUCAACUCUCCAAUCUGCAACUAGGGACUCAUUUAUGAUCAUCCAUUUGAUGUGUGGUUGUGACCAAGUACUCAUAAUCUACAACCUAGUUGUGAUGUUCAAAGUAGAUUACCAAUUAAGAAUCAUUAAGAACAAGAAAACUUCAAAGAACCAAAGAAAUCACAUGGCAGGAUGUUUGCAUUGCAACUUCUCCAUUCAUUCACAUUUCCACCAAGAUUAAGCAUGAUGUGUGCUAUAACCUUGAUCAAAUAAUUCAUAAGCAGCCCUAGUGGUGACCAAAUAUUAAGAUUAACAAACACAUUAAACAAUAAAACCAGUGAAUGAAACAAGAUACAUAUUGGUAAUUUGAAAACUUUAAUUUAAUAAUAUAGAGUAGUUUUGCAAGGUUACAUCGAAAUCCCCAGCUAUGAACGUAAUUACACAACAUGAUUACAUAAUAUAUAGAUAUGAAAAAUAACAUGAGUGAAAUUAAAACCAUAGAAGAAACCCCUGAAGCAAUUCUAGUGUGGAACUUCUUCAAGAAUAGCGCAGCUGAUAGGUUUCUUUGGUGCCAGCAGAUGGUGAACGGGAAAAUAAUUUUGUUUCCAAAAGAAAGUCAAAAGAAAGAGAAGAGAAAGAGCUCUAGGCGUCCCCAAGGGGGGCUUGCGUAAAAGUGGCAGACAAGCAUGGUUUUAUAAGGUAAAAGAGGCUGUUAUAGAAUGCCAAGACAUCCCAGUAAUGGAGCACUUAUUUUAUAUGUUUUUUACUGUUAUUGGUCUUUUAAAGGGCUAUAUUCAUCACCAUAUUCAAUUGUACACUUUGAAUCUUUCUCUACAUCAGAAUCUCAACACCAUUUUGCCUUAUUUGCCCCCAAAUGGACUCUAAAAUACAAUUAACUGCACAUUAACAAAAAGAGGGUAAAACACAAAUAGUUUAACUCAAAAUUAUCACAAAGAGACUAGGAAUGGAUGGUAUUGAUGUAUGAAAUAUAUGAGUUAUCACAAGGCUUCUUUCAAACACGCUAUAAUUGAUUAUAAGGUGAUGUAUUCCCUUGCAAUGAACGUCAUAAUAUUCCACUACCUUUUCAAUUUGGUAGUUUCUAAAGAACUGCCUAUGUAGCUUAUGAAAGUGGUUACUACGUAUCUAGCUUCAUGGGGAUCAAUGAUAUGGAAAUGCAAAACCUUGUGACAUUUCUUGAAGAAUUUACAUGGACUAAUUCAAAUAAUUCUAGACCACAUAACACCUACUCAAUUCAAUUGAGGUGUUCACUUUACGGAUUGAAACAAUUCGGGCGGAUGUGGUAUACCUGUCUAAGUGAAUAUGUCAUCAGUAGGGAUAUAUGAAUAAACAAUGCACGUGCGUGUACAAUCCAAAUCGCUAGAGUUGCAGUUUAAGUCGAUGACAUGAAUCUCACUUAUACUCUUGAAGAGCUUGAGAAAAUUGUCUCGACCUAAAGUCGGAAUUUGAGAUGACAAAUCUUGGAAAAACUUGACACUGGUUCGACUUGAAGUUUGAGCAUUAUUCUGACGGUAUUCUGACCCACCAGUCGAACUACACCCAUAAUGUGUUACCUUUAAGUACACCUAUGAUCGUCCUUACGUUAGAUGCAAAUGAGACCCUUGAAGAGAUUAUGAAGCCUAAAGUUCCAUAUCUGAGUGCAAUCGAGUUUAUAUCUAAUGGUAAUUUACAGCAUUUUUAAUGGAUGUUCCACAUGGACUCGUUCAGUCAAAUUACAGAAAGCAACAAGGUUUCAGUCUAACUUUGUUAGCACUUAGGGACCGGGAUAAAAAAAAAAUCAAAACCAAUUUUUCGAUCAUUUGACUAUAUUGUUAACGUAUUCAAAAUUUUGGUGCUUAAUCAAAAUAUUGGGUUCCUCUAUAUGGACGACCAAGAAAAUUGACGGUUCCAACUAUCACCAAAUCAUACGUGAGAAGGAGAAAAUAUAGUAGAGAACGAAUUUUCAAAGAAGAAUGUAGCUAGUACUAACUACUAAGGUCCAAAGAUAUCAUAUUACGUUAGAUUCUAACAAUAAUGUAUUUGGAAAUCAAAUACUAUCGCAUCAUCUGAUAUAUGAUUGAAAAUAAUGUGAAUGGUUGAUUGGCGAGGACAUGGGGAAGAUCCUUCGACGAUUCCCUGUGGUUUUGUUAAGUGCCACCGUCACCUUUGCUUCAUCGUCUUGGGCAGCCACGUAUGUAGACAUGUGGUGGUGUAGAAAAAUUCCAAGAUGACAUUUCGGUUUUUUUAGUCUCACAUGCAAAGAUAUGGACAUGGUUUGGCCUUUCCCAUACAUAGGGGGCGUGUUAUUAUCAUAAAUAUUGCUACCAACAAGGCAGAGAUAAAAAAGAAGAAGGGAAUUGACAUAAAUAAGUCAUUUCUUUUAUUUUGGGAUCAAAAUAAGAUUUUUGGGAUAUGCAUAGAACAUCCCAUGACAUGCACAACAAUAGGACAAAAGUAGGAUUUUUCAAAAAUUUGAAAUAACUAAAUUGCUCUCCCAUAUAAAUGGGUUAUUUCGAAGACCUAGUUAUCAUUUUCUCCUUCCUUGUCCGAAAACCUCUCUCAACGAACCCUAACCCUCAACGGCACAACCCAAAUCCUUUCUCCAAUUUUCCGACUGAUGCCAAGUUUCCAAUUUUUCACAGCACGACCCAAAUCCAGGGUAGGCCCUGAGGGUAGCCAGGUAAGGCGAUCAUCUAGGGCCGCCGACUUCUGAGAGUCCCGAAUAUAUAUAUAUAUAUAUAUAUAUAUAUAUAUGUAUUAGUAUAUAAAUACUCUAAAAGUAAGAAGAAUAACACAAAAAAUUUGGUGGUGUAGUGGAAAAGAAUGCAUUUGUUUGGUUACUAUCUCCUGCUCAAAACAUGACGGAGGCUUUUUAUUUAUUUAUUUUUUAUUUUUAUCCUAAUUAAAAGGCCAUGCUAGUAAAGAUUUCCCAAACAAGCAUAUUCAAAUAGCUCUGCUAAAGACUCACCAAACAAGUAUUGUUUUUCCAAAUAUAAUUAGAAAACCUACUCUAAUAACCAUGUUGAUGCACAAAACUAGAUGGGUCUUGGAACAACGUAAAUCCGACCGUGAAUCUGCAAGAAAGUAAAGAACACAAGAUGUAUCGUGGUUCACCCCAAUGUUUGGGCUACGUCCACACUGAUAUUGUAUUUCUCUGUUUAUGAGAGGAUUGUGAGGGAGAGAGAAAGCUUGAGAUAGCUCUGUUUGUAAGGAUGAGAGCCUUGUAAUGUGAGAGUGAGGCUUGAGGGUUGUGAAGGUGAGGAGUCCCUUUUAUAGACUAAGGGUUCCUCACUUAUUACAUAUUUGCCCUUUCAUUUAUUACAUAAUUACAUUUGAGUCCCCCAAGUAUUUAUACGAGGUCUAAAUACGAAGGCCCUAAGUAUGGUACAAACAGUAGUCUCCUAAGUCUUCAGUCAAGAGUCUUUUGGCUGGAGACUUGAAAUUCAGUCAAUGUGUGGGCCGAAGUAACUAGAUGUCGUCUAUAACUGAUACUCGAUAUGAGGCGGUACCCAAUCUAAAAUGAUGCUCAAUCAGAAGUAGCACAUGUUGCGAGGCUGCUCUGUUUGUGGCUUAUGUUGCCUUGGUUGGCUCGGCUUGUGACGUUGAAGGUGAGGGAGUCCCUUUUAUAGAAUAAGGGCUCGCUCCUCAAUACAAAAAUGAUGGGCUAGAGUUGGUGCUCGCGGCGAGGCGGUUGCUCAGCAGGCGGCGAUGCUCUCUAAUGAUGGUGAGGGAGUCCCUUUUAUAGAAUAAGGGCUCGCUCCUCAAUACAUAAGUGAUGGGUUAUGAGUGAAGCUAGCGGCGAGGUGGUUGCUCAGUUGGCGGCGAUGCUCUCUAAUGAUGGUAAGGGAGUCCCUCUUAUAGAAUAAGGGUUCGCUCCUCAAUACAUGAAUGAUGGGCUAGGAGUCUCUCUCUAAUGAAAGUGAGGGAGUCCCUUUUAUAGAAUAAGGGUUCGCUCCUUAAUACAUAAAUAAUGGGCUAAGUCCCCCAAGUAUUUUUCAUGAGGCCCAGUUGCGGAAGCCCAAUAUAUGGUACAUAGUGUAAUCCCCCAAUUCUUCAGUCAAUAGAGUCUGUUGGUUGGAGACUUCAAAUUGAAUCCAUGUAUGGGCCGAAGUGGCGAUUGUUCGGAGGCAGUCUUUGUAUACCAUGCACUGAAGCUUUGUAGGUGAAGCUUUGAAAAUGAAGCUUUGAAGCUGGAGUUUUUGUAAAUGAAGCUUUGAAAGCUGGAGCUAUGUAAAUGAAGCUUUCGAAGCUAGAGCUUUGUAAAUGAAGCUUUUGAAGCUGAUUGACAUAAGUGAUGCUCAUGAAUGUUUAUGUUGAUUGACAUGAGUGAUGCUCAUGGAUGUUGACAUGAGUGAUGCUCAUGAAUGUUGACAUGAGUGAUGCUCAUGAAUGUUUAUGUAUAAUUGAUAUGAGUGAUGCUCAUGUAUACUUUUGGAGUACUGGACGUACUUUUGAUCACCUAAUUGGUGAUAAUAGCGGCAGGCUGCCGAAUAAUUUUGGAGUACUAGACGUACUUUUGAUCACCUAGUUGGUGAUAAUAGCGGCAGGCUGCCGAAUAAUUUUGGAGUACUGAACGUACUUUUGAUCACCUGGUUGGUGAUAAUAGCGACAGACUGCCGAAUAAUUUUGGAGUACUGUGCGUACUUUUGAUCACCUGGUUGGUGAUAAUAGAGGGCUUGGCUCUUUUGGGCAUAUGAGCCUUCGCCCUUCACAUAACAUUCCAGCCCAUUAUUUUGGGCUUGCCAUUUUUUUAUUUUUUUUAAUUUUUUUUAUUACCCUCUGAUGAGGUUAUACAAAUGUCUUCGAAAGAUAAGAAAAAUAAAUCACAUCAUUAAAAAACAAGAAAAGUAAAUCACAUCAUUCUGGUGGGGUGUUUAUUCCUUUCUUUUGCAAUAUGGGUGUUUAUUCCUUGCUUUUGCAGUGUUCCCAUAUGCUUUCGCAGAGCAAAGCCUCCCUUUUGCUUUCUGUUUUUUCUCGGUUUUUCUUCUGCUUUGCUUUCGCUUUUGUUUCUGUUUCUUCUUUUUCUUUUCCUUUUUGCAGAUGGCAAAUAAGGGCCUGGCAACGUGAAAGUUUAUCGAAGUUGCUUUUAUGCUUUCUACGUUAUGCUGUCACUUCUUUUUCUGUUUCUAUUUCUGAUGAAGAGCUGUAAAUAUGCUUUGGAGCGGCCGUGUUAGAACCGGGACGAGCGGAGCGGCGAAGUCGGCGGCCAUGUUUCCGUGGAAAAUUGCGAAGUCGAUGGAGGCGAUGUUCUCGCGGUGAGCCGUGAAGAGAGUAUGCAAGUUCCUGUUGAAAAAGAAGUUGGGGCAGUUCGAUGUCCAGCUCUCCGAGGGCACCAUUCAGCUUAAUUUAAAUCAGUUUAAGCACACAUCAAUCUGCCUGACCACUUUCUUUAGUUUAAACACAAGUAUCUGGAUUCCCAGCUGAGUAAAAGUGUAAUGAUCUUGCAUACCUUGGAAGGGAUCAGAGUCUCAGAUCUUGUAAAAAUCCAAAGGCCACAAUCCGUGCGCGAUGAUCUUCCUCAAAUCGUAAUCGAUCUAAAACCCUCAGAUUUUUUUUACUUCACACCUUCAGCCAUGGAAGCUCUGCAAGCUUCCUUCCUGCAAAUCCCUCCCAUCCAAUUCGAACCCGACAGUGAUAAAAUUAAACGUAACCUCACCAAGAAAGGUGUCCACCCAACUCCCAAGAUCGUCCACACUGUCCGCAAAAAAGAAAUCCAAAAACACAACCGCAAGCUCAACCGCCUUGCGGAGGCGGAUCCAUCUCCGCCGUUCUCGCAUACCUAAAAAUAGGCCUUGGCCGAAGAAACCCAUUUCUGAACUCUCAAGCGUGAGUUCAUGGACUUCACCAAAGCGGUCAAAGCGAAGAGUGGUUGCGAGGAAUUCAUGGUUGGGAUUCGUGCAGCUUCCGCUUCUUCGAAGGUUGCUUUCCCUAGUCCAUGGCCGGAGAGAGAGAAAUGGAGGAUGGUGGCUUGCUGAGAUUUUGGUGAAAAAGUGAUGGUGGCCGGUGGUCGAGUACAGGAGUCCACUGAGGGUUUCACUGGAACACAGAAGGCAGUACUGCGAGGCUGCUCUGCUAAAUCCAAUCAAGAUCCUCCUGGGUCUUGGAUGUUGUCGAUUUGGUUUUGGAGAUGGGAAAUGGAAGCUGCGAGCUUAUGCUUGCCAAUGAAAGUGGGAAAUUGGCCAGCUCUUGCUCUGUCUUCGAAAUAAAGUGGCAUAGCCAUUUCUCCUCCUCCUUCAUCUUCUCUUCCUCUUGCCGGAGAAGAUGAUGGGUUUGCUUCCACUUGCUUAUCCAUUCACAAAUUCCAACCAAAGCCUCUCUCUGUCUUUACACCUAGAACUUAUUAUAUUGUUUACAGAGAGAGAUAGAGAGAGAGAGAUGAGAGAGAAGGAGUCAGAGACAUGAAAAGACGCGGUGGUAGUUGUGUUGUUGAGAGAGAUAUGGAAAAUGGGUUUUUGGAUGGUUUCUUAAAACUGCACAGAAUCUGCAAAGGUUUUCUGGAAAAGCCCAAAGAGUGAGGUUUUUUGGGUUCUUGGGUUUCUGCAGUUUCACAGUGGUGAGAUGAAAAAAAUGAAAGAGAACCAACAUAGUUUUUUGUGUCUUUUCCCACAGACGACGCCUAAUGUUGAUGCACAAAAUCGGAGGGGUCUUGGAACAACGAAAAUCCGACCGUGAAUCUACAAGAAAGUAAAGAACACAAGGUGUAUCGUGGUUCACCCCAAUGUUUGGGCUACGUCCACACUGAUAUUGUAUUUCUCUAUUUGUGAGAGGAUUGUGAGGGAGAGAGAGCUUGAGAGAGCUAUCUGUUUGUAAGGAUGAGAGCCUUGUAAUGUGAGAGUGAGGCUUGAAGGUUGUGAGGGUGAGGAGUCCCUUUUAUAGACUAAGGGCUCCUCACUUAUUACAUAUUUGCCCCUUCAUUUAUUACAUAAUUACAUUUGAGUCCCCCGAGUAUUUACACGAGGUUUAAAUACGAAGACCCUAAGUAUGGUACAAACAAACCAUUUAGAUUAUGUAAACUUAACUAAUACAUUUGCAUCUAAAAAUGCAAGACGUGUAUUAUCUAAUGUUUGUAUAUAUUUCUUCUUUUGAUAAAUUUUAAUGGUAUUUGAUGUAGAAAUACAUUUUUUUCAUGUAUUAACGAAUUUCUUUUUCUACAUAUCAAUGUACAAAAAAUCUGAAGUUAAAGAAUUCUAGGACCCCACUUUGAAGGCUCAUCUAGGACCCUCAAAUUUCCCUGCUCAAACCCAAAAGAAAAAAAAACGUGAUCCCAAACUGGAAAAGCCUAAUCCCAUUUGCUCUCAAAAACUCUUUGCUCUCCUCAAGGCACAAAUAUCUAACCCAAUCAAAACAAGGAUCAGUCGAAAUUAUCGAAAUGUAAUCAAACUAACACCAAAUUUGAAGCUAAAUUAAUCAACAGAAACGAAGUAUUUGACUCACAUAACAAAACGGAGGCCUAGGGAUUUCAAGAAGCUGAGAUUGGGGGAAUGGGGGAAGCCGGGCCUAAGCACACCAUUGUCGACCAUCUUGAAGUUCAAAGGCGGCAUGAACGCCUCUCCGCACCUCCCAUUCUUGUCUCCGAUCUCCGAUCUUCGAUCAAGUUUCCAGUUUGGGAUCGAUGGAAAUAUUUAAGUUUUACAAUUUAUAUGUGGGUAUUUUCGUUGUUUCGUCUUUGUGCAUGGUCAACAUGCAGUGUGCAUGACCGGUUUGUCCUAUUUUGAUCUUAAUAACAAGAAAAUAGUCUAUUUCUGUUAAUUUCCCAAAAAAUAAAGUGUUUCAUACGUAAGGCCUUUCUUUUUACCAAUUAUAAUAAGGGAACUUUAACGAAAAGCACCUUGUACUGUUCACUUUAAAGAGUUAGAAUUUUGUGAUGGAAAAUGUACAAGAGUUUUCUUAUAUGGAGACGAAAAAUCCUAAAAUUUGGGAACAUAACCCAAUUAAGACAUUCGAAUGAGAGUGCGGGGAUGGUUCAAAUUUUGCGAUUUGACAUAAUUCUAAGCUAAAUUGAGCAUGUUGGAUUGCCUGGAACGGAAAAAAAAAAAGUGAUCAUGGAAUGAGCAACUCAACUCACGUGUGCAGGCUAACAAACAAAAACUACAAGGAACCGGAUCCCCUCAUGAGUUUAGGAUAUUGAGUUUUCUGAGUAAUCACAUGAGACGUUGAAAUUUGAUCCAACGACUGUAAUUAUUAUAAUAUUUAGAGAGGUCUCAUAUUUGUAGUCGUUGGAUUAAAUUUCAAUGGUCCAUAUCCUUAGCUCAGGAAGCUUAGCCUCCUAAACUCACGAAGGAAUCCGAUUGCAAACUACAAUAUGCGGAACUCGCUCUUUCGCAAUCAGAGAGCUGUCGUUGCGUAGUGUUGAAAAAGUGAGGUGUGGAAGAAAAAAAAAGUGAUGGCGGAAUGAACAGCCCAACCCACGUGUAGGCUAGCAAACAAUAACGACAACAGGCGGAACUCGCAUUUUCGAAACUAGAGAGUUAUCGUUGCAUAGUGUUCAAAGUGUGAGGCUUGGACAUGAAAAAAAAAAAUUAAUGAAAAAUGUUUAAAAACUUUAAAUUUUAAUGAUAAGGAUAAAAAAGUGUUGUAAAUGAAUAGUACCAAGAUUGAUUUUUUAGAAUAAAAAUGUGGUUUUUCUUUCAAGUGAACAGUACCAGAAGUGUUUCGUUAAAGUUCCAGAAAUAAAAAAGGGACGGAUUGACUUAAACUAACAACCUAAAUCAUUUUUGGACAAUUCUAACAAGAAAAAAAAAGGAUCAAACAAGAAUUUAAAUUCAACAACAAAAUUAAUGAUGUUAACUAAUCUAAUUCAGAUCCAACCUCAUCCCAAACUCUACAAUCACCCAAGUUCAUUAUCCACGAAACGUAAUAUUUUCAUGUCUAAUUAAUUACACUCUAAAUGGACAUUUGCGAAUGAUGCUAUGUUGAUGUUACCUUACAUAUAUAAAGUCUACUGAAGUUAUUUGGUAAUUAUGAUGAUAGCAUUGUUCCCUGGUCAAUAAGAUAAUAUAGAAAAUGUUCAUAAGGGUGAUGGUGCUUGUACGAGUGUGUGAAGGCCAUGAUUAUUAACAUAUUAUUCCUGCUUACUUACUGUUGAGUUUAGAAGGUCUAAAUAUGGAACAAACUAGCGUCAAACAAUGAUUAUUGUUUUGAUCGGAUUAUAGGUCAUAUGUACACAUAUUCAAGGUACCAAUAAUAUUGACACCCCUUUACAUAUAAUUAACAUUUUAUCUUUCAAAUAUUGCCCGUUUGGUACAAUCGUGUCUACCCCAAUGGGGAAAGACACGUGCGCGUUGUCGAGGGCUUUUACUUUCAGUUGUUGACAUUCUGGUGGGGAGACUUUUACUGUCUGCUAAUACUUAUCCUAAAAAAUCAACCAAAAUCAAGUCAAAGGAACGUGGCAAAUGAUUAAAUGUAUGGUUAUUAUACAAUAUAGUUUAUGGUGGUGAACAAAAAUGCUUCUUAAAAUGUGUUCCUUCUUGUAUAGUUUGUAACUGAUAGGGAUUUUACUACUCAUGUGAAUGGGCUAAAAACUCCUAUUAUACUUGCAAGAAUCACAAAGUUGUUGUAGUAUAAACGGAUCUCACAAGGUCUUUCUCUAUAUGGAUUAUUAAAUAAUUCGAAACUAACACAUUUCCAAUUAAUUAUUGUAAGGUAGAAAUUGCGGUGAUUGAUUUUAUAGCCUACUUAAAUUAAAAACGAAAUUAAUUAAUAAAAAUAAGACAAUCAGCAAUAUUAAAAACUAGAAGGAAAAGAAAACAGUUUUGAGAGAAAUCAAAUUAAGAAAACACUAGGGUUCCACCAUCACCUAGCAAUCCUAUGAACUUCUACCAAUUACUUAUGAUCUACACAUGCCACUUUGAAGGUUAGAUUUUCCUAAUUCAUAUUCUACUUGGAACCUCCAACAUAUAACGUAUAUCUAACAUGCAACCCGUCCUGACGUUCGGAUCAAAUCUGAACAUGAAAUACUCAUUAUGCUUUAUGAAAACCCCUUGAAAAACCAAGCAACCCUUAAAACAUGGUGUUCAUCCUAAGUGAAAUUACAAUUAUUAAUCACAAGAAGCCAGCGUCAAUUUCAGGGAACCUUCCGACCAAAAUUGCAUCAAAUUACUUUUCUAAAGAUCCUAAUGGUGAUCAGACAUUAAGACAAAUAGAUAGUUUUUAUAUUGGUAAUUAACAAUUCAAAAUAUGCAUGCAAUCAAUCAUAAGCAAUUAAAUAAAAAUCACAUAUUCAUGCUAAGGCUCAAGGCUUCGCCCUAGCAAAAUAAAUUAGUUACGCAUAUUCAUAAUUGAAAUCAUAGAAAAUAUUAUUAAGAAAAGGAUUGAAAACACCUUAAAGUAUAAAAUCUCCAAGAACCCUAGCGAUUCUCUCUGUCUCCAAAAUUGCAUAAAAGAAAGCGUAGAGAAAAUGUGGUAGACAGCCAAGCAAUAUAUAUGCCAAGCCACCACACAAACCCUAAAAACAGGUCCUUUAUUCCCCCUAGGAAACUAAUAAUAAUAAUAAAUAAAAUAGGAAACAUAACCCUAAAUUAAAUGAUAAAAUUCGCCUAAAAUCUGAACAGCCACGUUUUGGACCCAGAAGCUGCUCCAAAACUGGUCCAAUAUAGCUGGAUCUAAUGUUUGGAAUAUUCUGAACACUUCUCCAGAAGGCCACGAACCCAUCCGAGGUUAUCUUGGGCUCCAAAAACGCAAUUUAAGCCCAAAAACGUAAUUUUCCAGCACUGCGCAUCGCUCCUUUAUUUUAUUGCCAGAACCGCUUGGUGGAAAAAUCCCAGAUUUUGAUACGAUCAAACUAAGUGACUUACGAACGUCCUCCAACUGAAAUUACUCCAAAAUUCGUCCAUUUGAUCCUGUUUUGCUUCAAAUGAAGUCGAAAGUCCUAUAUUGGAAAUACAUUUCAAAAUAUCAAAAUUCUUCUAAAAUAUUAACCAAAAUAUACUAAGAAUAGGGUAAAAUAUAUAAUAUAAAAUCUACUCAUCAGUAACAACGAAGAAAGUCAAGGAUUACAAGUGCUUAAAUUAAAAGCUCAGAGAAGGUCACAAAUGCAUGGUUUUUGGUAGAAAAUUUGAACAAAAGUAAGUUUUAGGGCUUCGUGCAUGAAUAUUGCAAAAAUUAGGGCUUCCUAUCAAAAUCAAGAAAUCACGAUAAUGUAAGAGGGCUUCGUGCCAAAAGCCUCACGCAAGGAUUCAUCAACAGUUCAAUGAAAGUCACAAUAUCAGGGGUUGAAAUAUGUAUAAAUUAUAAUUGAGGUUCGUGUGUACUAUCUAAAUAAAUAUGCCUCGAGUUUAGGUGAACAAAAAAUUAUUUUAUAUAAUUGAGCAUGUAUAAGUUCGCACAAAAGAAAAAUUAUAUAUGCUACUAAAUAAUAUGUAUCAUGUUGAUAAAACAUUGUUUUCUUUUGUAGUGGCAAUGUGGAUGGAGUCUCUUCAGCGCGCCUAAUAAAGCACAUAUGAACUCUAGGUCCCAACCUUUAAGCCUUUCCUUGCAAUUCUCGCCCCCUCCCCAGUGGCCUCGUCUCGAGCCACUGAAUCUCAGAGAUCAGUUGGCCUUGAGUUCAUACAAUCCAAAAACAAUCAGAACCUUAAAUUAAACCAUAACCAUAAUCCCUACAUUUUAUACUAAUUAACAUGAUUUUACAAGUCCGUUCAUAUGUUUAUGAGUCUGGAAUGAGAAACACUCGUAACACAAUGUAACUUUGCAUUCACAAAUUUUAUAUUUUCCAAUGUAAACGUCAAUGUUUCAUAAUUAUUUCCUAAUGUAGUUUGUCAACACGCAUUACACAUGCAACUAAUAUAGUAUACAAUUAACAAGUAGGAAGAAGUUUUAGGAUCACAGAAAAUUGAGUGGUAAAGUGACUCACUCGCAUUCAGAUCAUAUCCAUUGUCGAAUGUGAAGAAAUGGAAUGUGGCCAUGAAUAAUCUCCGAAAUGCCAAUCUUUUCACACAUUUUUUGCCUUUUGGUGUUCUUUUUGCUGCCGUGGAGACUGCUAUGUGCAUGGACCACAGCAACUUCACUGCACAGCCAUAUAUAUUAUAUAUGUGAGAGGGGACUCCAUCAUUUGUGUUUCUUGGUAAAAGACAACGACCCAAUUGGCUUGGGAAAUUUAAUUCUACUAAAAGAAGCCAAUACAUGUUUGGGUGGUGGGACUUGGAAGGGACUUGAUGUGUCUCAGAUCGACUGGAGGCUGAGAUUACCAAGUGAUUACUUGAAGCCAAAACGUCGUUUUUCCUGUGGAUGUUCUGUCAUGUACACUCUCCGGUCACUCGUAAUUUUGCGUUUUAGUAGGAUGUUAUCUUAUGCAGUCGAGGACUUUCUAGUAUAUUAUUCUGGUUAUUCCGUACAUAUUAUCGAGUUUUCAUGUUAAUUUUUGGUCAAGUAUGCAAGGACUAUAAUAUCAGUUUUUUCAUUGAAGCGUUUAGCCAAGCAUUUGAUGGCCACGUCGCUAUGCUUAGAUUAUUCGACAACUUCCAAGGCCUUAUGUUGAGGCCUGUCAAGCAUCACCUACCAAGGCUUGUCAAAUUCUGUCGUAGAGGCAUGUCAUCGAACAAUUUGUGAACAUUUUCAGGUCCUAGAGCAGAUGGUCAUAGACUCAUAGGGUUCUCUAGUGGUCUUUCCCAUAUAUUCCGACUUAAAAAUAGAGUAUUUAUGUUUACAGGCAAGUUUUCUGUAUGAAUAAUCCAACCAAACCCAUGCAACACGUUCUCUAAAUGUAGUUCUCAAUUUUCAUGCAUGCCUGGAAGACUGUCUCUAGCGAAACUCAUGCGUGUAUUCAAACUAGCUCAUUAGUUUAGGGAGCUUGACAAUUAGAACCAAUAAUAUAAAAGGCUCGAAGGUUUAAGGCAGUUUGCUCGUUUUAUUAUACCUUUCUCGACUUUUGGCUAAGAUCAAAUGUGCUCGUUUUAUUACGUCCAAGUUUAGUUCUCUCACUCCAUUAGAGUGCAUUGAAAUAUAGUCUUGUUAGAAGAAAAAAAAAAAGAAAAAGAAAAAAAAUAAGACUUUAUUAGGCCCACGUGUCAUAGUGUGAGGAUUUGGUCACACUCUCAAUCUUUUAAUGGGUUUGGGCUUUAGGAUUGGGCUAAAACACGUAAUCUGUGGACUUAAUAACUCAAUGAUCAAGUAGUGUCAUGAGUGUCUCUAAUCUAAUGGUGCAAUGAAGGCUUGUCAGCUAAAAUAGUCAUUGAGAUUAGCAUAAUUCUUUAUUUUAACUCUUAAUAUUGAAAUCGAUAGAAAGGGUUCCUGAGUUUUUUCACCGUCAACCAUUUUGGUUUUUCUGUGAAAAAUCUUCAUUAAAUGAAAAAAACCAAGUCGAUGGGUUGAUUGGACAAAAACACCUUUAAUUUAACAUAAUUUUUCAUAGAAUGACCAAAAUGGUUGACGGUGGGCAAACUCAGGGACCAUUUCAAUCGAUUUUCAAUCUUAAUAACCAAAAUAAAGACUUAUGUCAAUUUCGAUGACCAUUUUAACUAAAAAGUUAUGCAGUGAAUGAACAACUUCUAUAUCAUAGCCCCAGUGAAUUGAAUGAAAAUAACGUUUAGUAUACAUUGUGGUAAAGCUUUGCUUUUCAUGUCCUUUGUUUGCAUGACAUGCCACCCCACACGGCAACUUUUAUCUCCAUAAAAUUAAAAGGUAGGAAAACCAUGGUCCUAUGGGAUAUUAGCUUUUCUUUUGUUGGUUUCCACGUUUAACCCCCAACACUUUGACAUUAUUACAAAAUCAUCCCAACUAGCUCCACGUUUCAGGACCACAGAGCGAGUACGUAGUACAUCGCACUCGAGCGAGUACAUUUGUCUCCCAAAACGCAUGAGGCGUAUCUGUUUCCCUCGUUUUGUUUGUUCAAAAUUCAAAAACGACCCAACAACUCCAAUUCCUCUCUCUCUCUCUCUCUCUACUGAAUCAAUAAAUCACCUAAAAAGGAAAACCAAGAACAAGCUAGAGUUUUGGAUUUCCCCUUUGUUUUUACUUUUUUUUUGUUUGUUCUGAAAUCGAUGUUAUGCUCGCUGUUGAAGCGUGGAUUUGGGGAAUCUGUGCAGAUCGGCGUUGAGGUUUCUUGACAGGUCGAUUUCGCGAGCUAUGGGCUGCUUCUUCGGUUGCUUUCGGGACAAAGAUGAUCGCCACCUCCGCUCUCGCCCUCACCUCGUCUCUCAGUCCUCUCGUAACCCCCAGACGGUAAGGUUUCCGUUUGGUGUUUGGUUCCCGAGAAAAUCCGGGAAAAUGUUUUUCCUUUCAGUGUCUAUAUUUACUGUGCUGCGAAUUACUUUUUGUGUGAAAAUUUGAGGAAAUCAUAGUCAAUUGAGUACUAAAGGACUAAUCUUGAUCUUGAAUUAGCCUAAGAUUAGGGAUUUUAGAUUUCUUGUUUUUUCAAUUUUGAUUUGGGUGCUGCCGAUAUCAUUGCAAUUGGAACCCAGUGUAGUUAUAUUCAUUAUCGUUAUGUUCAAUUUCAUUUUCUCAGCUUCCAAACAGUAGAUUAGUGAGUUAUGUAUAAUUUUAGACUGAUUUCUUGUUUUCUGUUUCUUUUAUUUUGAUCAGGAAGUCGUGUUAUCCCAAAACCGUUUGUCUGCUCUAUUUUCAGCUGAAGGUAUAUUAUAUUUUCUCCAAGACAAUAAGCUAAUUUCUUGAAUCCGAUUCUACAUAUCUCGUUGCUUUUUAUUUUCUUUGGUCUGAUUAUCCUUUUAUUUUCUCUGGUCUGAUUUGUAUGUGACUCUCGAAGAGCAAGAAGGUUCUCCAAGCAAAGAUAGGGAAAGUCCGCGUUAUGGGUCUCCACAAAUUGACAAGGAGCUCAGGAAUGAGGUGUUUUUUUUUUACUUUAUGAGCUAGCGGAUUCAAAGUUUGAUGUAGUUAAGAUGUUCAGUACAGCAGUUCAGAUUAAAUUGUUUUCGAUGCCUAAUGCUCAGAACCUACAUAUUUCAAACGUAGCAUGGCCAUUUUUGCCAAUCAGUUUUUUAAAUGUUGUAACUUUUUCUCAAUCUUUUGAAGUGAUAUAAAUACUCCAAUUUAUGCUCUACAACAAAGACUUUGUUUUCCUGUACAUGCUGUUUAAGUGAAGUUACAAGCAUUAGUUUCCGAAGUGUUGCUUUCUAAGUUAGAACUUGUGGGAGUCAUUGGAGCUUUGACUCCCGUUUUGCGCAGUACGUUUAAUGUCAUUGUUUCUAGUUACACUUUGGAUGCAUUUCUAGAUUAAGUCUUUAGCUAUUUGAAUUUCUCAUACUGUUAAAGAUAUUGGUUUUAUUUAUGCAGUGCAUCUUAUUCUGCAGGCCAAGUUUCUUAAAGCUUGUGGUACCAUAGCGGAAACCCCAGCUGAAAUUCGUAAAGUGUCUUCAAGGUUAAAUGGCUCACCCCAUCAUGAUAGAGAUUCAGAGCCUCCAAAAUUCAACUCAUGGCUCCCAAACACAUCCUUUAGAAAUCUUCAGCAAGAGUUGGAUCAACCAGAUCAUCCCCUUACGCCUAUGAAGUACAAUGAAGAGUGGGGAAUGGGUUCAGGUCCUUCUGAGCAUACGCCUAGCAGGUUCUACUUAUAACUGUUUUAAAGUUUGAAUAGUUACUUACAGAUGCUUUGAAUGCUUGAACAUUAGUAUAUUUUCUACUUCUAGAUGGGAUGGGUUUGCAAAACCAGAGUUUCAAUCUGUCCUCGUAUUAGCAAUGAAAUUUGAUGGCCAUCUCAUAUUUUUCUUUUUAGUAGAGAAAAAAUUGGUUUUUUUUUUUUUUUUUUGUGUGUGUGUGUGUGUGUGUGUGCUGCCUGUAUUGUGAGGAACUGUUUAGUACAAGUAAACAUAACUGAUUCCAGACUUGCGUUCUUAUAUUUUAUAUUUAUUUCCACAAAACAACAUAGUUUCUGACAUUUGCCCAAUUUCAUUUUUUAUCUGUAGUUGUGAAUUCAACCAACAGAAUACUGGUAGGAUCGCUAUCAGCUCUUCUGGAGGCAGCGGAAUAGGUACUGAUUCCACAGUGAAGAGUCAUACUAACCGGACUGAGAAUAUUACAACUCCAGAUGUCCAGUGCAGGAGCAAGGCUGUUCGCUUUGAAUGCGAUAAUAAUACAAAUUCCUCCAGAGGUUCUUCAUCCGAAAAUUAUAACCGGAGUUCAAAAGUAUGUGAAACUCCAGGAAAACAGAGCAUAUCAAAGCCUUCGGUUUAUCCAACCCCACUAACUCUUUCUGAGGAGAUGCAGACACCAGGAACUGUUUUCCCUGCAAAUCUCGAAAACUUUCCAAAUGGAAGGGCAAGAAUCAGGUCCCAGUAUGUGUAUUCAGUGCAAAACCCUGUAGACGGCAUCUCUCAGUGGAAUGUACUGAAAGACGAAGAUCCUAAGUCACUUGGACAUUCUGGUGAGCCAAGAGAAUCUCUUAACGACUGGGGAAAUGCAACCCCUACAUCCGAAGAGGGGUCAAAACAAAUGUCAUCUGGACAAGAGGUCAAUGUGGAAUCAAGUUUGUCCGCGUGGCUGAAGCCGGUAACUCAAGAUAACAACAAUCACUUUGGUUAUGUUCCUGGCCAAACUCGUCAUUUUGGAAGAACUCCUGUGGACAGGCCUAUCAUUGGGCUUGUUGCUACUCACUGGAAUGAAGAUGAACAUACUCGUGUCUCACCCAAGUGGUGGGAUGGAAACGGAAUCCCAAAUUCAACAAACAAAUACAAGGAGGUUUGUCUGACUACCUUCUACUUCCUCUUGCGUCUUCAAUUCAUUUUUUAAGUGACGUCUGAAGUUAUUUCUGAAUUUGCAGGAUCAGAAGGUGAGUUGGCAUGCCACCCCAUUUGAAGAAAGGUUGGAAAAGGCACUGUCCGAAGAGAGUUUCAUCUCGCAGAGGUAUUAGAACGGCAUCGCAAUUUGUUUUCACAAUUUUCUUCAGUGCUAAAGAAGCAUUGAUUUUCCUCGACAGAAAAUGUGACUAUGUACUUUAUAUGGUUAUGCAGAAAAAACAUGGAGGGAAAGCCGAUUGUUUUCGACGAGAACGAUGAAAGUGACACAGCCCUUUCUCAGUUGCAAACGUCAUCCCAUCCGAAGUCCGUGGUUUCAUUCUGAUGAGCAUGAGUUUUGUUGCUUGCUUUACAAGGAAUUUGUUGGUGGUGAAAAAAAUGAGCUCUUAAAAAAGAAACCCUAAAUCUGAAGUUUGUUGUUGGGGAUAUAUGGUGAAAUUGGUAAUUUGGCCUUUUGCAUCUAAAGCCAAUGAACGAUCAAAGCGGAUAAAGCAAAAGUUUAUUAGUGUGUCAAUAUAGUCAUGCUUAUGUCAGCAUUCGGGGCUGCUUAGAAUGUGUACAGAAUUAUUGGAAAUUUUAUCACACAGAACUAAUUGCUUGUUGACAAAGUUUGGUUGUUUGGAGACCUAGAUCUUAUAAUUUCUUACAUGAUUCGUUAAUAUGUUAUGUAAAAGAUAUAAAAAUAACGGAUUUCAGGUCAACACGAUAACUAAUUGAGUCGUUAUCUGGUUACACAAUAAGAACCCGAUAAUAACGCGUCCUUAAUAAGUUUACACGAAAAUGACACUCGGUAACCUGUUUUAACAUGCUAAUAAGAAAGAUAUUUUUAUGGUUUUAAUUUUUUAAACUAUUAAAAAAAUCACUAGAUAUAGUGGAUAAGUAUAUAUUGUUUAUUAAUUAUUAUUCUAUAUAAAGAGUGAGAUUAAAAAAUUAGAAAGCACAUUAAAAAUAAAAAUAUUAAUUAAUUUUAAAAAAAAUGAGCUCUUAAAAAAGAAACCCUAAAUCUGAAGUUUGUUGUUGGGGAUAUAUGGUGAAAUUGGUAAUUUGGCCUUUUGCAUCAAAAGCCAAUGAACCAUUAAAGCGGAUAAAGCAGAAGUUCAUUAGUGUGUCAAUAUAGUCAUACUUAUGUCAGCAUUCGGGGCUGCUUAGAAUGUGUACAGAAUUAUUGGAAAUUUUAUCACAGAACUAAUUGCUUGUUGACAAAGUUUGUUUGUUCAGAGACCUAGAUCUUAUAAUUUCUUACACGAUCUGUUAACACGUUAUGUAAAAGAUACAAAAAUACGGAUUUCAGGUCAACACAAUAACUAAUUGGGUUCUUAUCAGAUUACACGAUAAGAACCCUAUAAUAACAGGUUCUUAAUAGGUUUACACGAAAAUAACAUACUGGUAACCUAUUUUAACAUUCUAAGAAAAAAGAUAUUUUUAUGGUUUUAAUUUUUUAAACUAUUAAAAAAAUCACUAGAUAUAGUGGAUAAGUAUAUAUUGUUUAUUAAUUAUUAUUCUAUAUAAAUUUUAAAAUUUUAAGUUUUAUUUAUUUAUUUAUUUUUAUAGUAUACUAUACGUAAAGAGUGAGAUUAAAAAAAAUUAGAAAGCACAUUAAAAAUAAAAAUAUUAAGUAAUUUAAAAAUACCAAACACAUUAAAAAAUUAUAGUAAUUAAUUUACAAGUACGAAAAAUGUAAACAAUAUGAAAACACUUAUAAUAACAUCAUUUAAACUUUGGGGAUGGGUACAUCGUCGUUUGAAUUUUUAAAACUAUACAAACCCUCAUGAAUAGUAUUUUUAAGAGUUAAAAAAUAAAUAAAAUUCAUAAUCAUUAAUGUUCAAAACAAGUGUUCAAAGAUAUGCAAAAUGAAGAGAGUUGCGUUCCAAGGGUUUUAUGGUAAAAAAACAUGCAAUGUUCCUCAACCUUGAAACACAUCUCUUUUCAUUUUGCAUAUCUUUGAACAUUUGUAUUUUGUAGUAUGCACUAAUGUUUUCUCAUUAGGCUCUUAUUUUGGGUAUGUAAACUUGAAAUACAUGUUUUUUUUUUAAUAAUGUUUUGAAGUAAUAUUUAUGUAACAAUAUGGUAUGUAUAUAUUAAUUUAGUAUUAUGUUUUACAUUUUUUGGGUCAACUUAUGUUUUUCAUUUUCAUUAUUUAUUAAUUUAAAAUAUAUUUUUUUCACAGUAACGGGUUAGGUCAUAUUACCUGAUAAUAUUAACGGGUCAAUUUCGCAUCGAAUCAUAUUACUUGUUUAUUUUAACGGGUGUUACAUGACACAACCCGUUAAGCUAUUGGGUAUGACACGAAAACGACAUGAAUACGAGAAACAUGACACGAAUGCCAGGUCUAGAAACCAUAUUAAUGGGAAAAGAGAUUUCCUCUUGCAACCAUUUCACCACAUGUCAAAGCUUUAUUGAAUGUUGGGUUCACUUUCUAAACACGUGACGAUCACUGAUUGGUAACGGAUUCCACUCGAACCAUGAAACGGUUGUAAGAGAGAAUCACUCUAUUGGAAGAGAAAUUUCUCUCUUAAAAUAUUGCCGUAGUGACCUUUCCGCAACAUAAAAGUUGUUUAUAUGUGCAUUUUGAGUCAUUGAUGAAUGCAUAAAUUAAGACAGGAAAUUGGGAAUAUCACAAACUAGGGCAAGAAGUUUAAUUACAAAGUUGAAAGAGACACAAUCAAUUAUGAGCAUAUCGCACGACGACAUAAAUGUUAAGAAUAAGGUAUUUGUCGAUUUCCCCAUUCCCCUGAAUUUGUUAGGAGUUACCAUUUUCGUCAUGAGCUAUAAUUUUAUUCAAUUAUCUCCUGAAACUUUUAUAAUUGAUCAAUUUUCUCAAAAACUUUAAUUUUAGCAAAUUACUCACCUAAACUUUAAUUUUAAUUGCAAAAAAAGUAAUUUUAUCGAUAAGGUAGACAACAUUUUUUUUUCUAUUCCGCUAGUUCACUUGGGGGGAGGGGGGUCAAUUAGAAAAAUUAGAGGAGUAAUCGGGUAAAAUUAAAGUUUAUUGGAGAAAUUGGCCAAUUAUAGAAGUUUAGGAGGUAAGCGGCUAAAAUUAAAGCUCAUUAAAGAAAUUGGCCAAUUAUAAAAGUAAAUUGGCCAAUUAUAAAAGUUCAGAAGUAAAAUUGAUAGUUACUUACAAAUUUGGAAAAAAUCAGCCACUACUUCUUCAAGAAAUAUUGAAGUAAUUUUCAAGUUUGGCCCAACUGAGGAUCCACCAAAUAGGCCCAAUGACACCAACACCGCAGCCCUAAAUCCAAAAGGAAAGCACAAAAAAUGUUGGCAUAUAAAUAGAAGCUGGCGGUCGGCGUUAUGCGGAAGGGCGCGAGCGGGGCGGGGCGAGGAUGGUGCGGGAGAGAAAGGGGUGCUCUCUGCUGGAAGCGGCAAUCAGUCGAACACCAUGUGGAUAAGAAAAUAACUGAGGGGAUCGUGAUUUCCUUAUUUCCAUUUUAUAAAGUUUUUAUAGUUUUCAAUCUGAAUAUGUUCGAUUCGGUUGCUGCUCGUAUGAGAUCCACUCUCUCUCUCUCUCUCUCCUUCCUGCCCACCUCAAACCCUCGGGGCCUUAUGAUGAUGUCUGAAGGUUCUCCGCUUCGAUUUUAUUAGGUUUUUGUUAGAUUUGAGUGAUUAAUAUUUUCUGCAUUUUUUUUGUUUGAUUUCUUGCUGGUUUUUAAUUUCUUUGAUAACCCAUGAAGUUUUAUUUAUUUUUUUUUUAUUUCCCCGUAGUGUAUGUAUAGAGAGAACUGUGAAUGUAUAUAUAUAUAUAUAUAUAUAUAUAUAUAUGUAUGUAUGUAUGAAUGUAUGUAUGUAUAGAGUUUUUCUAGGUAAGCCAUGAUUUUUUGGAAAAUUGGUGGCGUUGAUGAAGAAAUUUUGAGUCUGACGUCGUGUCGUUAGGUAAUGUUAUUAAUUCACGUGUUCUAAUAAGAUCAGUGUACAAUAUAGUUGAUAUGUAUUAUGUCAUGGACUUUGACUAUAGUAUUAAUAAAGAGAUGCAAUGCUAUGACAUAAGUGGAUUUAAUACGGUGUGGUAUAGCUGCUACAUUGAAAAACUUCUUUCCUUGUGUGAGUUUGUUUUGCAAACUGUGCAAUUAAUAUUAAUUUUUUAUAUAGUUUAUGGAAGUGAUUUCGAACUUCUAUUUCAAUUUAUUCUCUAAAUUUCUUUAUUUAAGGGUGUUUUGGUAGCAUAAUUCUGUUUUUAUUAUAAUCCUACUUGAAUGGUUAUUUUCUGAAGAUUUUGGGCACUGGUAGGGAUGUGCAAUGGUUAUGCGGGUGGGUAACCGCGGUUAAUUUAUCCAUAACCGUUUAUGUUCAUACCUGCAUAACCAUUUACCCGUUGGGUAAUUACCUAAACGGUUAUACCCAUACCCAUAACCGUUUAUAAACGGUUAACCAUACUCAUAACCGCAUACUCAUUUAACCGUAACCGUUUAAUAUCCGUUUACCCAUUUAUCAUUUUUAACCCGUUUAGCUUUUUUUUUUUACCAUUACCUUUUUUUCACCCGUCUAUAUGUUUUUUAACAACUUGAAAAUUAAAAAAAAAAUUGUCAUAAUUUUUUUUUGACAAUUAAAUACCGUUAUAGGUACAUUCAUCAUACAUUUUCAUAUUUUAAUUUUUUAAAUCCUUAUGCAAUUCCAAUAAUUGAAAUAAUAGUUUACAGAUAAUAUUUUUAACUGUUACCAAUAAAGGUAAAUAUAAUAUUUGCUAAGUAUUAUUGGAUUACAAAAAUUGUUUAUAAGACAUUUCUGUCAAAACAUUUCUGUUAAUUUCACGGUUACCUGCAAGAAAUUUAAAUUAAUUUGGCCAAUUCCUUGAUGAUGAGAACAUCAUUCAUGCAGUAGUGUUAUUGAGAGAAGGACCGAUGAAUUCCUUGCUAAUUGAUUGGGUGCUAAGUAUUAUUGGAUCGAGAACAUGGUUUGUGUUAGUUUUACAUAUAUAAAAUAAAUGGGUAAACGGUUACCCGUUUAUAACCGUGGUUAAUACCCAUGACCGUCCAUUUAAAUUUCAUGGAUAAACGGUUAUACCCAUAACCAUUUAUUUAUUUAAACGGUUACUCAUAACCGUAACCAUUUAAUUUAAAUGGGCGGAUAACCGUGGUUACCCAUAACCAAUGAGUAUUUACCCAUCACUAAGCAUGGGGUUCCUAUAAUAUGAAGGGAGACCUCCAAGAUUGGCUUUUCGGUUGAUGCUAUCUACAUAUUUAUUUUUGUCUCUUACAUACUUUAUGUUAAUUUAUGUUAUGUGAACUUCUCAAUUCAUUUGAUACUAUGGUCAGAAAUUAAGAAGAGUGUGAAAGAUAAAAAAGGAUUGGUGCUAUCUACAUAUUUAUUUUUAUAUUUUACACACUCUAUGUUAAUGUAUGUUACAUGAUCUUCUCAAUUCAUUUGAUAUGACAAUCAAAAUUAAAAAAAAUAUAAAAAAUAAAAAAUAAUGUGCAGAUAGCACUUCCCUUCAAAUAAAUGCAUUAGAUACUAACAACCACUUGACUUGACCAACCGAACACCCACCUUUAAUAAUUUCUGUGUUUUUUCCCUCUUGUUUUUUACCCGUUAAUUAUGAUUUUCUCCCGCCUCUUGUGAUGUGAUGAGUUAAGUGCUUACCAAAGCAAAAGACCAGAGAGAGCAAAAGCAAAUUGGAUACUGUUUCUUUGAGAGCAACUCCAGUCCUUGAAAUUAGGAUGGGCCGAAGCUUAAAAAAAUCUUAUUCGAAAUUAAAAAUAAAAUUAUUUUUUAUUAUUUUAUUAAAAUUUUAAUAAUACUUGAAUACGAAUGAAUUAGAUUUAGAUCAGCAUAUUUUUUAAAGAUGUAUUUGACCAAUUACUAUUUAUUGGGAGUAAUUACAAUUAUUUGAGUGGAUUAAAUAGGCUGGAUGUUAGCAUAUUUUUUAGAUGGAUUGUCUACCCUGCCAUUUCCAUACUCUUUCUAUCAUCUUCUGUUUUAUCUGGUCACGGUUAAGCCACGUUAACAUUUUAUAUUCCUAUUACAUUUUGUUUUAUUAUUUUUAUAAAAAAAUGAAUAUAAAAUGUUGACGUGGCUUAAUUGUGACCACACAAACAGAAGGAGAUGAGCAUAGUAUGGAAAUGGAAGGGCAGACAAUCCACCUCCUAAAAAAUAUGCUGACAUCCAGCCUAUUUAAUCCACUCAAAUAAUUGUAAUUAAUCCCAAUAAAUAGUAAUUGGUCAAAUACAUCUUAAUCUUUGAAAAAUAUGCUGAUAUAAAUCUAAUCAAUUCGUAUUAAAAUAUUACUAAAAUUUUAAUAAAAUAAUAAAAAAUAAUUUUAUUUUUAAUUUCGGAUAAGAUUUUUUUAAGCUUCGGCCCAGCCUAAUUUCAAGGACUGGAGUUGCUCUCAAAGAAAUGGAGAGUCUAUAAGAACUGGAUACCAAACUCUGUUGUGCACGAACUAAAUUCUUGGUUUCGAUAACAAUUGCAAUGGUGGUGAAGGUGUACGGCCCCUUCUAUGCUGCGCCGAAGCGUGUGCUGGUGUGCCUUGUUGAGAAGGAGAUUGAAUUUGAGACCAGCCCCAUUGAUCUCUUCAAGGGUGAACAUAAAUCUCCGGAAUUUCUCAAAUUACAGGUUAGCUUUAGCUAUUCAUUCAUUUGUUAAUCGUGAUUGCUCUACUCGUAUUAAUCUUUUCGGAAACUAUAAAUAUAUUGAUCUUUGCGUUGCUUUGUCUUUAAAAAUACAGCCCUUUGGACAAAUUCCUGUUAUCCAAGAUGGGGAUUAUACUUUGUAUGGUAUGCCUGUUUUUGAAUUUGAAUCAACGUUUGUCAAGUUUUAUCCUUUCUUGUUUGCAGAUAAAUAUUAAUUUGAUUAAUAUUGUCUGUGUUUUCUUUGUUGCAGAUAUUAGUUGAAAAUUGUGAAAUAUCGUAGGAAAUUUUUGAUAGAUAAAGAGUGUAGCAUGUUAUAUUCUUAACUUCAUAUAUCGUUUGACGUAAACCGCAUCGAUCUUGCGGCUUUUUCAUCUGGAAGGUGAUUGUUUUUCAGAUCAGAAGCUGGAUAACUUUGUUGCCAUGGUUAUGUAGUAUUCACCCCAGUAAUUAUGUUUUGUAUAUUUAUCUUGCCUUGAACCUUUUGAGUGACUUUCCCAAAGCAACAAAGUUUGAUCACUAAUGUUUCGGCAGCGAGAAAUUUUGUGUAAAUUGUUUGAUGAAAACCUUGUCCUCCCUUUUCUCUUCUGCAUAAGUGUAGUGACCUAACAAGUUCUGUAAUAAAACCGUCCAAAUUUGAUUUGCAGAAUCGCGCGCAAUCAUAAGGUACUACGCUGAAAAAUACAAAUCCCAGGGGACCGAUUUACUUGGAAAGACGAUUGAGGAAAGAGGUCUUGUGGAACAGUGGCUAGAGGUUGAAGCAAGCAACUAUCACCCGCCACUCGACAACUUGGUCAUGCACAUUUUGUUUGCCUCGGCAUUGGGAUUUCCUUCAGACCCGAAGAUCAUCCAGGAGAGCGAAGAAAAGCUCGGCAAGGUGUUGGACAUUUACGAGGAGCGGCUGUCGAAGAGCAAGUACUUGGCCGGUGAUUUUUUCAGCCUUGCUGAUCUUAGCCACCUUCCGUUCACCCACUACUUGGCCAAUAGUAUGGGGAAGGAGUAUAUGAUAAGGGACAGAAAGCAUGUCUCUGCUUGGUGGGAUGAUAUUAGCAGCAGACCAUCCUGGAAGAAGGUCCUCCAAUUUGGUGCGCCGUUUUAAGGUAUUUAAAGAAAUUGUUGCAUUCGCAACAUUGUCACGUUAAGGAGUUAUUAUAGAGGAGCGUUGGAUUCGCCGGUUCUGGAGCUUGGUCAGAAUAAAUAGUUGAAAGUAACGUGUGGGAAUAAUGAGAUCAUCCGCUCCUUGUAAUUUGCUUUCUCUGUCGGUACACAAGUAAGCUUUUUUCGCUGGAUAUGUAACUAAUGGUUUCAAUCGCUUUAUGGAUCAUGAAUGCUUAUGGCUUAAGCUGAAUUUGGGAGCGUUUUGUUAAAGUUGGUGGCUUAUUGGGAAGCCCUCUCUGCCAGUUUGGGCAUAGGAUGCUAUACCUUAUGUCCAAACUGGCAACUGUUUCACGAACUUUUUUCUAACAAAUCAAGCAAACUUACGAUGGAUUUCUAGGUGUGAUUUGCACUCAGAAUUUCCGCCUAUGACUAGUUGAGAAGAUUCUGAGGUUAAAUUUCAUAAUUGGCAUAUUCCGUUCUAGCUUGAGGUAUGACUUGCUGGAGGUUCUAUUGUGAAACCGAAAAGAUACUGUGCAUGUAAGUGUCAGUCGUGGCUAGCUAUGAAGGAGACGGUUGUUUGUCAUAUGAAUACAAAACAGGGCAGAUAGAUAUCUAUAACUUCAAUGCAUUUCAGAUGCUCUCUCAUCGCAUUUGGCACCUUGUACUUGUUUUAUGUCAUGGCCUCCAUUUUGUAUGCCAUAUUUAUACGAAAUUGUUAUUAGUAUUUUAAUUUCUUUUAAAUAUUUAUAUUUAAAAAGAAGAAUACAUAUGUGAGGAUUGCACAAUGAGAUUUUUGAAGGGUCAAUAGUAAUUCAUUUAUAUGUACAUAAUUUAUCUUUCCCCUACUAACUUAGAGCAUCUCCAAAGCAGAUGUCAAAAUAUCCAAAUCAACACUAAUAGUUGAAAAAUUGCAGCAUAAAUAUUUUCCAAUUGAAAAGUCAAACCGGAUGUCUCAUGACAUGGAUUGGCAUCCCUCACCUUAGCUGCCAAAAUUAAAGCAACUUCAAAUUGUUAUAAACUUCUUAUUUAAGUGUGAUUGUGUAAAUAAUAGAAUAUAUUUUAUUCUAGUUAUUCUUCUCUAUUAGGACUUGUAUUCCUGGGAGGAGAAGGAUUUCUUCCCUUUCUUAUUACUAUAAAUAAAGGCACUGCGUGGGGAAAUAACACAUCCUCUACACAACCCUACAAACACAUCUCUCUCUGUGCCGCCAACCCUCUUUCCCUUGUUAGUUAAAUAUAGGCCAAAACACGUUAUCAGCACACUCCUACCGCUGUGAUUAGGAAUCUGACACAGAAGUUUUUUGCAUCAAACCAGUUCGUCAAUAUCAUCACGCAAUCAGGUUCUUUUAAAACAACGGUUUUUAUCUUGAUAUUUUUGUAGCCUUGAUAGUAUGAACAUUCACCAUAAUGCAUGACCCAACUUUACGUUUUUCAAAUUUUAGAUUCUACAUAAAUUAUGUAUGCAACUAAGAUAAACUAAGAUAAACUAAGCCAAGUCUCUGGGCUCCUCGCGCCUAGCCAAGAUAAACUAAGCCACGAAGCCAGAAGCUCCGGGUUUUGCAACCCAGAAAAACCUUGACGCCAUUAAUGGCGUCUUUGUCCACGACCAUCACGGGCAUGGCCUGUAGCGACCGCCCAGAGCCUUUGGUCAUUGUCAUCGAUGACCAGAAGUCGUCCCCGACGAAAAUUGGACCGAGAUUCGCUUGAAUCUUAUCGGAAUUUUUUUUGAAAAUUCAAUUUGAAUUUUUCUAGGGUUUGGUUGUUGAAACUUUGAGAUUAAACCAUCUUCGUUCACCACCGUGACUUUCCUCGAGUCUUACCAACCCAGACAUGGCUGCCAGAAGCAGCGGCGCCGGGCAUCUUCACUGUUGCGCACACCCUACAUGGUUGGGGUUUGUGUUUGGUCUGACCCAUGGCCCUUUGGGCCUAGACCCUUAUCGGCCUAUUAACAUAAUUAAAAAUAAACUUUUUCCUGGGCCUAUGAACCAAGCCCAGUUGUUGUUCACCCUAAACCCACUUGCAACACCAACCCAUAUGGCUUAGGUCUACCGCAACAUAACCAAGCCCCUGAAGGGCUUUCCGAGUUUCAUGCAUCUAACCACACUAGAUCCCAGCUCGUAGAUGGUGAUUUUGUGCACCUAGCCUGUGAUGCACUCGAUCGCACCCCCUGGGAACAUACGCGCUGUGAAGCAGCAUAUUCGUGCCUCCAUGUUUGGGCCUGUAGCCCAUCUGAGCCCAACCUAGCCUAAGUUUUGGGCUUGGGCUGCACAUUUCAAAUUACUCUGCCCAGCUUGUGGGCUUUGGCCUAUUAUUUUCGGCCCUAAGUUUAAAUGCCUAUUUUUUAGGCCCUAUGAGUUUUAUAAUUUUUCACCCACACUUUAAUUUUUUUGCCCGAAGUCCAAAUAAUUAAUUCAAUUAUAAUUCUAGACCUAAAGUUCUAUUUGCAUAUUUUAUUGUUGUAUAUUUCUGUAUAUAUAUUUGUGUUUGUCUGUAGGAACAUAUGAACCUGAAGUUCAUAAUUAUUUCGAAGCCUGAAGUUUUCCUUAAAAAACAUCACCCAUGAAAAACACAAAGUUUUUUCAUGUAAAUUAAACCAAUAUAUGUCUAUUAGAAUCUGAAUGUUCUACUUCUAUGUGAAUGGAUUGAUUUUUUUUCUCCAUCACACUAACCACAUUUUGUCUAUUUAUUUUGAGAUAGGGGCAUGUCGACUUUAAAAAACUCGACUUCACCGCUUUAGAGAUCUCUAGAAGGAACUAACUCAAGUGGGUCCAAGAUGUGAAGCUCCACCUCACUGUAAAGAAUUUGUGUCCCGCCAUUGAAGAUGAGAUGGAUAACCUGGUUGGCGAAACUGAGAAAGCCACUGCCAUGAUCUUCAUCCAAAGACAUAUUCAUGACGCAUUGCAAACCGAGUACCUUGCUGUGAAAGAUCCAUGAGCACUCUGGGUCGCUUUGGCUGAUCAUUUUGAUUACCAAAAGGACAUCUUCUUGCCUAAAGCAAGACAUGACUACAAACAUUUGCACUUCCAAGACUUUAAGUCUGUGAAUGAAUAUAAUUAUGAAGUUUGUCGAAUCCGAUCACUUCUCAAGUUUUGUAACAAGAACUUGACCAAAGAGGAUCUCCCGGAGAAGACCUAUUCGACCUUCUCUGCUACUAAUAUUGUCCUGUAACAAAAUUUUAAGGCUCAGAAGUUCACCAAUACAAUGAUCUAACAAGUUGCUUACUAAGAAUGUAAAGUUGCACAUCGGAAACCUGAGCAAAUAAAAUACAACACGUAAUUAAUGAUUCCACUACUAAUAAAACCGAAGGUUUUUUUUUUGAGAUAAAACUCCACUGGUCCAUCUUUCUGAAAUCUUGCCAGUUGUUUGAUAAAUCGUCUUCGAUCUGCAAAAUCACGCGUAAUCAUAAGGUAAUACAUAGAAAAGUAUAAGUCACAAGGGACUAAUUUGCUGGGGAAGAAAAUUGAGGAAAGAGGGCUUGUGGAACAAUGGCUGGAAGUUGAAGCACACAACUUCCACCCACCUAGCUACAAUAUGGUCCUUCACAUUCUCUUUGCCUCAGUUUUGGGCUUUCCUUCAGACCCUAAGAUCAUACAAGAAAGUGAAGAAAAGUUGGGAAGAGUGUUGGACAUUUACGAGGAGCGGCUGUCGAAGAGUAAGUACUUGGCUGGUGAUUUCUUUAGCCUUGCUGAUUUUAGCCACCUUCCGCUCACUCAAUUCUUGGUGGCUAAUAUGGGGAAGGAGUAUAUGAUCAAGGACAGAAAGCAUGUCUCUGCAUUGUGGGAUGACAUUAGCAACAUACCAUCUUGGAAGAGGGUCCUCCAGUUUGGUUCCCCAUUUUAAGGUCGAUGUACCUUUGGAAGAAAAUGUAUGUACAUUGGGUGUACACAAUGGUUUUUCUUGUACUGAUAAUGUGCUGUGUAUGAAAAGUUAUUGUGAAAAGAAGGUUUUACUCUCUCGUACUUUAUAUAAACUUUUGUACCCUGGGGUUUUUUAAGAAUAGAAUGGCAGUUUGAAUAAUCUUCUGUAUUGAUUCAUUAAAAUAUACAAGCUAGGCUAGAGUUCUUAUACAAACUGUAAAGAUACAAUCACAUCCUGUAAUUCCUACAAAUAAGCUAAGUAAAUAUAUUUACAAAAGGAAAGAAUAAAUCGUUGAUAGUCAAUGAUCACCAUGCUACCAAAUGGGAAGGAAAUCAUUCAUAUCAUAACACUCCCCCUCAAGUUGGCAAGUGAAUGUCAAAAACCGCUAACUUGCUCAGCAAAAAAUGGAAUUGUUCUUUUCCUAAAGGCUUCGUGAAUAUGUCAGCAACUUGCCUUGAAGAUGGAACAAAUUUGGUGACUACCUUUCCUUGAAUUUUAUCUCGAACAAAAUGACAGUCAAUCUCUAUAUGGCGUGUCCGCUCAUGAAAAACAGGAUUAGCGGCAAUGUGAAAAGCCGCUUGGUUAUCACAGUGUAAAACAGCAGCGCCCAUAUCUUUAAUACGUAAAUCACAUAAAAGACUUUGUAACCAGGUGAGCUCACAACAGGUAGCAGCCAUUAAACGGUACCCUGCUUCUGUAGUAGAUAAUGAGACAGUCUUCUGCUUUUUGCUUUUCCAUGAAAUUAAAGAAUCUCCAAGGAAAACACAAUAUCCGGUAGUAGAACGUCGAAUCACCGAACACCCUGCCCAAUCGGCAUAAAAAAAAGCCUUCAAUUGUAACAAACUUUGUGAGGAAAACAAAAUACCUUGACCUGGAGUGUCCUUCAAAUAUCUCAAAACACGUAAAGCUGCAUCAUAGUGAGGCUUGCGAGGAUGUUGCAUGAAACGACUCAACGUGUUCACUGCAAAAGUAAUAUCGGGUCUACUGAUAGUUAAAUAUAUCAAACGUCCUAUUAAUCUUUGAUAGAUGGACAUAUCGUGAAGUAAAUCUCCUUCAUUAGGAAGUAGCUUCAGAUUUUGUUCCAUGGGGAAGCUAGCUGAUCGUGCUCCCAAAAGACCCAAAUCUUUCAAAAUGUCCAAUAAAUAUUUUCUUUGAGAAAUAAAGAUCCCCUUUUUUGAACGAGCAAUCUCUAUUCCUAAAAAAAUAUUUAAGGGCUCCUAAAUCUUUGAUGCAGAAGCGUUUAUUCAGAAAAGAUUUAAGAGAACCAAUAGCCGUCAUGUCAUUACCAGUGAUCAAGAUAUCAUCAUCGUAAAUAAGGAGAGCUGUGAACGAUUUGCCAACUUUUCUUGUAAAAAGGGAAUAAUUGGCUUUGGACUAUGUAUACCCAGCUGCACAAAUAGCCUCAGAAAACUUAAAAAACCACUGCCGAGAAGCCUGCUUUAAUCCAUACAAAGACUUGUGAAGACGACAUACUAAAUGCUCCCCCUGUCGCCGAAGACCAUGAAGUGGAACCAUAUAUAUUUCCUCAUAGAGAUCACCAUGUAGGAAGGUGUUGUGGACAUCCAUUUGAUGUAGGGACCAGCCACUAGCAGCUGCAAUAGCAAGCAGACAACGAAACGUAACCAACGUUGCAGUCGGGGAAAACAUAUCCUGGUAAUCAACACCUUCAAUUUGAGUGUAACCCUUGGCCACUAAACGAGCUUUGUAACGCUCAAUAGUGCCAUUGGACUUGUGCUUGAUUUUGUAUACCUAACGACAACCAAUAGGGGCCUUGCCAGGUGGAAGUGCAGUCAAAGACCAAGUGGCAUUAACUUCGAGAGCUUGAAUCUCCGAGGUCAUGGCUUCUCACCAUCGAGGAUCUUUAGCAGCCUCUGCAUAUGUGUUAGGUUCAACAGAGAGAGUAAUAUUGGCAAUAAAACUUUGAUAAGAUGGAGAAAGAUUUUUAUAAGAAAUAUACUUGCAUAAAGGAUGGUGAGUACAUUUUUUAGAAGAACCUGGAGUCGAUGCAUUGAGUGGGGAAGACGAGGAAACAUGAGAGCAAGCAUAGUCAUCAAGGUAAGUAGGUGUACGUUUAGGCCUAUCAGAGUGGCGUAUGGAGGGGGCAACAUGUGGACUAGGUGAUGGAGGAGGGCUAUUGGUGACUGUUUGGUUUGAGAGAGGUGUAGCAAUGAAGUUGGAUGAAGUCUCAUUGUCAACCUGAGGGGAUGGUGAGAUGGACUCAACAUGAGUGGGUGGGGUCUCAAUGUCAUCAUGAGUAGGAAGAGGCAAGACAGGUUCUUGAGUUUGGGGUUAAAGGAGUGGUGAUAAAAGGAAAAUUAGACUCAUGAAAAAGCAACAUCUUGGCUGGUGAAUACUUUGUGAGUAGAAAGGUUGUACAACUUAUAUGCUUUUUUACCAAAGGGAUAUCCUAUAAAGACACAUUUGCUGGCUCGUGCAUCAAAUUUAUGAAGAGGUUGAACAUUGGUGGCAUAAGCUAAACAUCCAAAAGUACGCAAGUGUGCAUACGAUGGUGGACGGUCAUAAAGAACCUCAAAAGGUGAUUUAUUGGACAAAAGUGGUGUGGGUAAGCGAUUUAUGAGGUAGAUUGCAGUAAGGACACAAUCUCCCAAAAAAUACAAAGGUAAGUGACUCUGAAAGCGUAGUGCCCUGGCCACUUGCAAAAUAUGACGGUGUUUUCGCUUGACCACUCCAUUUUGUUGUAGAGUAUCUGUGCAAGAACGUUAAAAAAUCAUACCAUUCUCAGAAAAGAAAGAAUGUAGGGACAAAAACUCACUACCAUUAUCAGUUCGAAUUUUCUUAAUUUUGUGAUGGAAUUGAGUUUCUACAUAAGAAAAGAAAGUUUUAAUUAACUGUUGUGUUUCAGAUUUAUGUCUCAUCAAAAAGAGCCAAGUGGUUUGAGAAAAAUCAUCAACAAUUGUUAAGAAAUAUCGAGCCCCAUUAUAAGUAGAAAUUUUGUGCGGUCCCCAAAUGUCACAAUGAACAAGCUAAAAAAUGUGUUUACUGGAAAUAUGACUUAAUGGAAAAGGCAAUCUAGUUUGCUUUACUAAUGGGCAAACAUCAUAAGGUUUAUUUGAAUAAGAAUAAGCAUCUAACGAUUGCUUAGCUAAAAGGUGGAGUCGUUGUGGAGAGGGAUGACCAUGACGACGAUGCCAUGAAAUGGAAUUAACGCAACUAGGUGAAGGUGAAGUGGUGCGGUUACUGUUUGGUUUGGUGAGAUAGUAAAGACCUCCACGUUGUCUACCCCAUCCAAUCAUCUUUCUCAUCUUUAAGUCCUGUAAGACACAAAAAUCCGAAAAAAAUGUUAUGGAGCAUUGAAGGGAUUUUGUUAAACGACUAACGGAUGUCAAAUUAACCAAAAAUGAGGCAAUUCGUAAUACGUUAGUCAAUGAAAGUUUGGGAUCAAAAGUAAAAUUGUCAAUACUACUAAUUGAAACCCUUUCACUAGUCAGAAGUUUUCCUGGUGGUAGAGACUUGUUCACAAUAGAGUUUGAUAGGGGAAGCGCUGUAACAUGAUCCGUGGCGCCACUAUCCAUUAUCCAUUCUUGUGAAUGAUGGGAAAACAAACCUGAGAUUGCAUUGGUCUGUGCUUCAGAUGGCAAAUUUCCAGCCAUCAUAGCAAAGAGUUGUUGAAGCUGCUCAGGAGUAAAAGUCAUCGGUGUUGCUAAUGUAGAGGAAGAAGUUGAAGAAGUUGUUGCUUGAACAUGGUUGGUCGCAGGUUUUCCCUCCUUACCACGGCCCUUUCCCUUGUUCUUUUUAUGGAGACGAUGGUCUUCGGGAUAUCCAUGAAGCUGGUAACAAGUCUCCCUGGUGUGGUGGUCCAUGUCACAAUAAUCGCAAUGUAGCAGCUUGCGAUUCCCUUGCUACCACGGCUAUGUUGAUUACCUCGACCACCUUGAACUGCCAUGGUUGCUCCUUCCACACUUGGUUAUGGGAUGGCUGCAAUUCCACGUUGAUUCUCCUCUUGGUUAACCAUUGAAAAAACUUUGAGCACUGAAGGCAAUGGCUUUACAAGCAGAAUCUGACCUCUCACUGCUGCAUAUGAAUCAUCAAGCCCCAUUAAAAAUUGCAUAACCUUAUUUUGCUCCUCUUUCUCGCUACGGUAUUCCAUGGCACCAUAUGAGCAGUUUUUAUGGCUGCCGUAAGAAGAUAAUUCAUCCCAUAAACCCUUCAAUUGGGAAUAAUAGUCAGACACAGACAUCUGAUUUUGAGUGAAGCGUGCAAUAUCACACUGAAUCUCAAAAAUUCGUAGGACGUUGUCUUGUGAAAAAUGAAUCUUGAGGUCCUCCCAAAUAGCAUGUGCAGUUUCUGCAUAAACCACACUGUUUGAUAACCCAUAACUCACAUAAUUUAAAAUCCACAUGAGAACCGUGUCUUUACAGCGCUGCCAAAGAGCAGCUUCAGUUGCUUUCUUGUCUGACGGCUUCUUCACAGACCCAUCAACAAAACCAAAUUUGUUCUUUGCAUUAAGGGCAAUACGCAUUGAAUGAGACCAUGUGCUAUAAUUGUUUCCAGUAAGUAGAGUAGAAACAAGAUGCAUCCCUGGAUUAUUAGAGUGAUGAAUAUAGAAAGGGCUUGAGGGAUCGUUCGACACCUCAACCGACUUGGAGUCUCCCAUGGCAAAAAAAGCGACUUUGCUCACAAGAAAAACCGAAAAAAGGAACGAAGAGAAACCAAGGAAACAAAAAAAAUCCUAGGAUCUUGGACUCUCUGGUAUCAUCUUAAGAAUAGAAUGGCAGUUUGAAUAAUCUUCUGUAUUGAUUCAUUGAAAUAUACAAGCUAGGCUAGAGUUCUUAUACAAACUGUAAAGAUACAAUCACAUCCCGUAAUUCCUACAAAUCAGCUAAGUAAAUAUAUUUACAAAAGGAAAGAAUAAAUCGUUGAUAGUCAAUGAUCACCAUGCUACCAAAUGGGAAGGAAAUCAUUCAUAUCAUAACAGGGGUUGGUCAAAAUAAAUAAUCAGAACAACUUGUUGGAAUAAUGUGCUCUUUCCUUUAUCAUUUGCUUUAUGUCAUGGUUAUCUGCCGAUCUGUGGUCAUUUUUAUGUGUCAUCUUCCUUCUAUUUUCACUUGAUGAUCGGCACUGCAAGGUCAAGCUCAUCUCUGAUGUUCGAACUUGUGAACUACAUAAUACUUCCCCAAAUUAGGGUUUAUCAAUAGUAAAAUAUGUGUGACUUUAACACCACUUGGCAGUGUGAAGUCGCACUGAGAAGAUUAAGUAGAUAAAUACAUGGGUUAUAGUAUGUAAAAUUAUAAUAUCACGUGACAAUGCAACAAUCAUUUUUAAAGGAUUAAGUACAUAAAUACACGUGUAUAAUAUGAAUUAAAAAGAUCAAGUACAUAAAUACAUGUGUAUAAUAUGAAUAUCAUUCAUGUAAGUGUCUCACGUGAGUGGCUUAAAGGAGACAGUUAUUCAUCAUAUAUUCAUUGUUCAUCAUAUGGAUACAAAACAAGGCAGAUAGAUAUUCAUAACGUCAACGCAUUUCAGAUGCUUUCAUCACAUUUGGCACCUUUUACUCGUCUUAUGUUAUGGCCUCCAUUUUAUAUGCCAUAUGUCUUAUGUUAUGCCCUCCAUUUUAUAUGACAUAUUUAUAAGAAAUUGUUAUUGACAUUGUACAUAAUUGUCUUUCCUAUUGACACUGUACAUAAUUGUCUUUCCCUUGCUAUUUAGAGCAUCUUCAAAAUAGAUGUCAAAAUAUCCAAAUUAGCAUUAACAAUCAAAAGAUAGCAACAAUUUUCCAACCGAAAAACCAAAUUUGAUGUGGCAUGAUAUGGAUUGGCAACCAUCAUCCUUGCUGCCCAAAUUAACAGUAACUUCAAAUCUUUUUUUAAUUAAUUAUUGACUGCAUUUUAUUAAUUUCAUUAUUGUUUUUUAUUUCAAAACAUUUAUUAUAACAUUUUAAUAUAAUAAAAUAAUAGCUUAAUUGACACAUCGGGUGGAGAGAAAACCUAAAAGAUGUCAAACUACCAUAUUGACUGUCAAAUUUAAAUUUUAUGUUUAAACUUAGGUAAAUUACAUUUUACCCCCUCUAGUUGAGGUGAACAAAUUUGUUGGAAUUUUGGAUUGACGGGCGGAGGCGCUCCACUCUAACAAUACUAAUAUUGUUCCCAACUUAGCAAUUACUACCUACCCAAUCCGUCAGGUGUGGGGACAUGAGUAUAAGUUAAAGUGAGAUAAUUAUAUUUAAACUCAUUAUUUCUCUUUCCCAUGUGGGAUAGUCAACAAAAAUAGAUGUUAAGUAAUGACGUGCUAAUAAUAUGUUCCUCAUUUAUGCUGACGUGACCGACUACCAACUUGUGCCACAUAACCAUUAAAUUAAAAGACUUUUCGACUAGAAAAAUGAUCUUCGAAAUGCAUCCUUCUUUAAUCUCUGAAAAUAUAAUUUAUCCUUUAAAAUUUAGCAUCUCUUUUUGAAGAUGCUGCUAAGAAAACUACAAAUGGAUGGAUGUAUGCAUGUGAGCAGCCCCAACGACCCUCCACUCCAAUUUUAAAUUCUUCCAUCAAUUGUUGGGGUGCUAUAUAAUAAGAAGUAAAGAACCACAAGCUGGAGUUUGCAGACUGAAUCUAAAUCCUUCGGUUUUAACACUAAGAAGUCAUAACAUGGUGGUGAAGGUGUAUGGGCCUCUGUACGCCGCCCCAAAGCGUGUGCUGGUAUGCCUUGUUGAGAAAGAGGUUGACUUUGAGACAGUCCCCAUUGAUCUUCUCAAGGGAGAGAACAAACACCCUGAUUUCCUCAAGUUACAGGUUAGCUAAUUAGUUACCUCUUAAUGCAAUUGUUUCUGAUUAGUGAUUGUUUUACUCAUGGUAUGAAUUGAGAUGGUCUUUUGUAAAUAUGUAAUUAUUUCUUUAUUUUCCGAUCGUGACAAAAGAAACACUUAUUCUUUCUUCAACAAUUUAUGCUUUUAGUGGACUUCUCAAUAGGAUUUAAACCCAGAUGAAGUUCUGAUCAUCUGUUAGAGAAAAAAGAAUGAAUAAGUAUGUAAAUUAUUUACUUGUACAUUGGUUUUGUAUUGGUUUGUCUUUAAUUGCAGCCAUUUGGAACAGUUCCUCUCAUUCAAGAUGGGGAUUAUACUCUAUAUGGUAUGCUAUGCUUUCUUUCUAGCACUUGAUCUUUUAGUUUUUAUUAUUUAUAUUGAGGGUAAAUUACACAAAACUAUCUUAACUAUUGGGUCAACUACAGUUUCAUACCCCAUCUUUAAAAAAUUUCAAUGUCAUACCUUAUCUACGAAUUUAUUGUAAUGUCAUACAUUCCGUUAGUUUGUCUGUCAAUUCCUCCGUUAAAUGCUGACGUGGCUUAAAAAAUUUAAUUAAAUAUUAAAAACUAAAAAAAUAAAAUCAUUUAAUUUUUUUCUUUGCAUGGGGGACCCAAGGGAUGGGCAAAAUACUCAUGGGUUUGGGUAACAGCGGUUACCCGUCUAUUUAAAGUUCACAUUUACGAUUAUGGGUAACCGUUUGGACGAACAAAUGGUUAUGGCUAUAACCGUUUAUCCGUGAAAUUUAAAUGGGCGAUUAUGAGUAUUAUCCGCGGUUAUAACGGGUAUCCAUCGGUUAUGGGCAUUACUUACGGUUAUAACGGAUACCCAUUUACCCAUUUAAUUUAAUAUAUGUAAAAUUUAAAAACUAUUGAGCGAACUCUAAAAUUAGUAGGACUAUUGAGCAAACUCUAAAAUACAUGCGUAAUCAUUGUGUUCUUCUUGAAAACCGCCUACUCCAGCUUUGCGCAUAUCAUGUCAAACGUUCCAUUGCUCAUCUGAAACGCCUUUCGAAACUCCUCCUUCGAAACGUCUGGGUGGCCUAAAUUCUCCCACCACACCUUGGACCUGACCUUCACCCAAAGCCUCAUGUGUGGAUCCGAAAUCGUAGCACUCAAAAAUUAGUAGGACUAUUGAGCGAACUCUAAAAUACACGUGUAAUGAUUAUGCGUGUUUUGAAUAAUCUAGUAUUCAAGAUAAUGACUACUUUUUGUUUUUAUAAACUUUACUUUGUAAUCAUAUGGAUUAUAAUUAAAAACUUGCUUGGAUGUAGCAGAAAAAUAUCGUUCAUAAACUUUAAUUUCAAUUAUUGGAAUUGUAUGAGGACUGAAAUGUUUAAAAUAGGGAAAUGCAUGCUAAAAUUUACCUAUAACGGUGUUUAAUUGUCAGAAAACAAAAAUUAUGACAAAUUUUUCUUUUUUAAUUUUCAAGUUGUUAAAAAAAAAAAACAUGUAAACAGGUGAAAAAAGGAGUAAAUGGGUAAAAAAAGGAUAAAUGGGUUCAAAAACGGAUAAAUAGUUAUAGUUAAAUAGGUAAACGGUUAUAGUUAAAUGGGUACACGGUUAUGGGUAUGAUUAACUGUUUAUAUACAGUUAUAGGUAUGAGUAUAACUGUUUAUGCAAUUACCCAACGGGUAAAUGGUUAUGCGAGUAUGAACAUAAAUGGUUAUAGGUAAAUAACCGCGGUUACACGCCCACCGUAACGUUGCCCAUCCCUAGACCCAGCCUUUAUCCCCCUCACCUUUCUUCCCCGCCCCAACCCAAACCUAGAUCCCACCCGCUCCGAUUUUCCCCCAAGCCACCCCCCAAACUAAUCACCCUCAACCUUCUUCCCCAUCUUUCUCCCCUGAACUCAUCACCCUCACCCUUAUACUUUCUCUCUAAAAUCCACUCCCUUUCUCUCUGUAAAAUUUCCAUACCAAAAUUAACGGCAUAUUCCUCUCUCUCUCUCUCUCUGUUCUUCCUCCCAAAUUUUCUCGGAAAAUCCUUCAUUGCAAACCCAAGAACCCAUCAGAAACGUUUAUUUUCCCGGGAACCAAUUAGCCCCCAAAGAAAUUUUUUGAUUCAAAUUAAGGGUUGCUUUCCCAAAUUUUUUGAUUCACUGCAAACCCAAGAACCCAUCAGUGAGUAGGGACUGAUUCAAAAGAAUGCUGGUGAAGAUUAUGAGGUGGUGACCAUGGCUGCAUCUGACGAUGAGGUGAGGCUAGUGUACAGAGGUUGGAGGGUUAGGAUCUGGUGAGGGAGGGUGCAGGCGGGGGCCGGUCCACAAGACAGAAAAAGAGGAGAAGUGGACGGCGGAGAUUAGGUGGAAGGGAUCCAAGGUCAAGGUUGGGACCAAUGAGGCUGCUGUUGCAGUGUGAAAGGGAGAGAGAAUACGGGAGGAAAGGGGAGAGAGAGAGGGGAAGGAUGGUUCUGGGCACAACAAGGGAGUGAAGUGGGGGAGGAAGGUGGGUGAGGUUGGUUUUUAUUAGGGUGCCAUGCAAAAAAAAUAUUAAAUGAUUUUAUUUAUUUUUAGUUUUUAAUAUUUAAUUAUGUUUUUUAAGUCACGUCAGCAUUUAACGGAGGAAUUGACAGACAAACUGACGGAAUGUAUGACAUUGCAACAAAUUCGUACAUAAGGUAUGACAUAAGAUGAGGUAUGAAACUAUGGUUGACCCAAUAAUUGAGGUAAUUUUAUGUAAUUUACUCUUAUUCUGAUACAAAUGAUAGUGGGCUAUGAAAUCUCAAUUGCAUUGGUGAAUAUUCGUAAUUGAGUAACAACUAUUUUUGCUAGCACAUGAUAUAUUUUACUUUUGGGUCCAAAUUUAUCGUCUUUUGAGAAUUUCCUUAGCAUCAGAUUGACAUUACAAUACACUUGCUCAUUGGUUUCUUAACAUCACCAAUACAAUGAUCUAACAAGUUGUUUAAGAAUGUAAAGUUGCACGUACCAAAUAAAAUACAACACAUAACUAGUGAUUCCACUACUAAUAGAACUUGCUUGAAAGGUGUUCGAUGAAAUGCCUGAACUGAUCACCAAUACAAUGAUCUAACAAGUUGCUUACUAAGAAUGUAAAGUUGCACAUCGGAAACCUGAACAAAUAAAAUACAACACAUAAUUAGUGAUUCCACUACUAAUAGAACCGAAUUUUUUUAUUUUUAUUUUUAUUUUUUUGAGAUAAAACUCCACUGGUCCGUCUUUCUGAAAUCUUACCAAUUGUUUGAUUAAAUUGUCUUCGAUCUGCAGAAUCACGUGCAAUCAUGAGGUACUACGCAGAAAAAUAUAAGUCACAAGGGACUGAUUUGCUGGGAAAGACAAUUGAGGAAAGAGGGCUUGUGGAACAAUGGCUGGAAGUUGAAGCACACAACUUCCAGCCACCAAUCUACAACUUGGUCGUUCACAUUCUCUUUUCCCCAGUUUUGGGUUUUCCUUCAGACCCCAAGAUCUUACAAGAGAGUGAAGAAAAGCUGGGAAAAGUGCUGGACAUUUACGAGGAGCAACUGUCGAAAUGCAAGUACUUGGCCGGUGAUUUCUUCAGCCUUGCUGAUCUUAGCCACCUUCCAUUCACUCACUUCUUGGUGGCUAAUAUGGGGAAGGAGUAUAUGAUCAGGGACAGAAAGCAUGUCUCUGCAUGGUGGGAUGACAUUAGCAACAGACCAUCUUGGAAGAGGGUCCUACAGUUUGGUGACCCAUUUUAAGGUUGAUGUACCUCUGGAAGAAAAAUUGUGUACUACGGGUGUGUACAAUUGUUUUUCUUGCAGUGAUGACGUGUUGUGUAUGAAACAUUAUUGUGAGAAGAAUGUUAAAUUCUCGUGUAGUUUAUAUAACUAUUGUACCCUGGAGUUGGGCAAAAUAAAUAAUCAGAACAGCUUGUUGGAAUAAUGUGCUAUCUCCUUGAUCAUUUGCUUUAUGUCAUGGCUUGUGAGAUGUUUUUUAUUUCUCUGUAAGACGUAUUCGACCUUCCAUUUGCUAAUUGGCUGAUCUUUGAUCGUUUUUCUGCUUCAUCUUCCUUCUAUUUUUUUGUUUCUGGUUUUUUCAGUAGUCCUCAUCUGUGAUGCCCGAACUUGUGAACUACAGGGUUGAUACCUCUCCAAAUUAGGAGUAGCAAAAAAUAGAGUACUGCAAUAUGCAUGACUUUAAUGUCACGUGACAGUAUGAUAAUCACAUUAAAAAGAUCAAGUAAAAAAUACACGUGUAAAUAUGUAUAAUUAUGGCAUUAUAUGACGGUGUGACAGACUCACUGAAAAAAAAAUCUACAAACUUAAGAGCUUAGUUUUGCUAGAAAGGGUCAUGCUUGUACCUUGUAGGUUUAUGGGCCUUCUUCAGGCUGAAUUUGUUGUUAAUUUUAAUUGCUUUUGAAAACCUCAUUAGUUUUGUGAAUGUUUGAUAUCAGAUCGUUACGAAAAAAGCUAAACAAAAUUGUUUAUAUUAAUUUUCCAAAAAAAAAUUGUUUAUAUUAAUACACUAAAGAUUGUAUGAUACUGAUCAAAAUCAAAUUACAAACAUGUACAUCUAUUAUAUUUGGACCGUGAGCUUUGCAUAUACGUUAAAGAACAAUGUUCGACUCUUUAUAUAUAAAGAGUAUUUUGAAACGUGUAACUUAUUAAACUCACAUAAAAAGUUAGGUUUUUAUCAUAAAUGGUCCUUAAAAUUGACCCACCCUAUCAAGAUGGUACCUGAAAUUGAAAAUCAAUCAAUUUGAUCCUUGAAAAUGGAUAUCGCAAAUCAAUAUGGUCAUUCCGUCACAAAUCUGUCAAAAUUCUAUCAUGUACUAAUGUGGCACAUAACUGGAUCCCAUAAGUCUAAUUGAAUAUUGACAUUUGGAUUAAAAAUUAUUAAUAAUAAAUAUCUUUUUUGUUGGGUUAUUUUAUUCACACCCUACAUUUUGUUGAUUACACUUCACAUACUUAAUAAACCCCACUUUUACUUUUUGAACUAAAAUUUAUCUUAAUAUACCCCACAUUUUUUCCAAUACUACCCUCACACCCAACAUACACAAUAAUAAGACACCUAACGCUCAAACUCUUUGUCAAUAUUUAGGUUUAUGUCAAUUGAGUGUUUAGUUUUUUGUCAAUUAGGGAUUUUAGAUUUCGUAUUUGAAGAAAUUGGAUCAAAAGCAUCGAAUGCAAACCAAGUUCUGCAAAAAAUAGAAUAAAGCCUUUGUAAUCUUAGCAAGUGAAUUCAAAAGGUUGUUCAAGAGAAUUUCGGAAGUGUCCAUCAUCAAUUCAUCAUCAAGCCAUCACAUUGAAGACUAUUACUUCUAUUGGCUCGAGUAAGGAGAAAUAAUGUGACAAGUUGCCCUAAGUCGCUUCAUGAGGUUUUCAAUAUUUAUUUUCUGUAUACGAUCAAUAGGCAACAGCAAACUCCAUCAUAUCAAAAGCAAACCAGUUCAAUUUUCUAUGAAGUGAAUUUUGCCAAUCGAAUGAAAUAUUAUAAACAUAAACUGAUAUGUGAUAAAUGACAUUGCAAUGAAUUGUAUCGUUGAGUUCAACAUCGGGUGAGAGUGACUUCGAGAGCUUGAAGAAAAUAAUAUACACUAACCUGUGCACAAAAUGAAUGGAAUUUGCUUUGCAGCCAUAAAAAAUUCAAUUCGUUAAUUGAAUCUCCAACAUAUCAUUUU
RNAcentral lists this long non-coding RNA (67911 nucleotides) under Malus domestica (apple). RNAcentral's name for it is "long non-coding RNA (MDOM_LNC017364)". Lineage: Eukaryota; Viridiplantae; Streptophyta; Magnoliopsida; Rosales; Rosaceae. The record is from RNAcentral.